CCGCCGCCGCCUCCGCGCCUGCCUGCUCCCUCCCCCAUUUCAUUUCAAUUGAGAGCUGGGAGCAACCAACCAACCCUAGAUCCACCACGUCCCCCACACGACAGGAGAGGAGAGGAGAGGAGAGGAGAGGAGAUCUCCCCGUCCCCGAUCCAAUUCCGCAGAGAUGGACUCCUCCUCCCCCUUCUCCCCUGACGACCAGACCGACGCCGACUUCUUCGACAAGCUCGUCGACGACGACGACGACCCCGCCCCGCCGCCCGCCACCGACUUGCCUCGGCCCGUCUCCGCCACCAGCCUCAACGCUGCAGACGACCCACCCGCCCCGGAGCCGCAGCCUCCGGUGCCGGCGCCUCCCGAGGGGUCAGGCAAGGGCGGAGCCGGCGUCCACACCGCGGUCAAGCAGGUGCAGUGGGCCUCCUUCGGAGGUGGCGCGGACGACGGUCCUGAUCCGUUCGCUGAUCUCUCGGGAGGCGCCGGCGACGACGACGGCUUCCUCGGGAGCACGGCCGGGACCCAGACGGCCUCGGGUCAGGACUUCUUCGCUGGGACCAACUCCUCCUCCGAUCAGCAGAAUGUCAAUGGUCAGCACGAUCAGGGAGGUGGCACCAGCACUGCAGUGGACCCAGCAGAUCCCAAGUCUUGGGAGGCCAUGUACCCUGGGUGGAAGUACGACGAGGCAUCGCAGCAGUGGUACCAGCUUGAUGGCAGUGUAAAUUCAACCGGGAAUGCAGCUCAGGUGCUGGAGAAUAGCAAUCAGAAUGCGCAGCAGCAGCUCAACACGUCUUACCUGCACAAUUCGUCGCAUGCGGGGCUCGAGACAAUUGCUGAGGAGGGCACUGCCGCAGCCGGUGCUGUCUCAAGUUGGGGCCAAGGGGCCGCCUCAGAGUACCCACCCAACAUGCUCUUCUACGCAGAAUACCCUGGUUGGUACUUUGACACCAACACUCAGCAGUGGCACUCGCUUGAGUCGUACCAGCAGGCUGCUAUGCAGGCUGGAACAGCUAGCACGGGUCAGACUGUUGUUGCAAACGAUGUUGUUGCUGCGAAUUCCUCCUCGCUGACAGGCUAUAAUGCUGCACAAACUGAGGAUGUUGCUGCCCACAAUCAGGUGACCCAUCACAAUUCAUUCUCAAAUAGUUUCACUCUGCAGAACCAAUGGCAGACUACGGAUGCAUUUGGUAACAAUGUACGAUCUGAAAGUGCUACAGAUAACAGCCUGGCUAGUAGUUUCUAUGGUUUUGAACAAAACAGGAAUGCUGAGACUACCACUUCCUCUACGAGCCAACAGGCUGGUUUUAACACAGUUGAAACUGUUACAGAUCACUAUGGUGCACGCAAGGGCUUUGAAUCAUCAAGUCUUCAGAGUGGUUAUAGCUCAUCUGACAGUCAACAAUCCAGUUACAAGGCAUUCGAACCUUCCACGCGUUAUAAGGCUGGUUACAAAGCGUUUGAACCUGCCAUGGAUAACCAGAGUGGCUACAAGGCAUUCAAACCUUCUACGGGUCACCAUAGUGCUUCCCAGGGAUUCAUGCCCUCCACGGGUCACCGGACUGAUUUCAAGGGUUCCAGAGCUUCCACAGUUCACCAGGCUGGUUACAAAGAGUUUGAAACUUCUACAGGUUACAGUACAAGUUUCAAGGCAUUUGAACCCUCUUCAUCUCAACAUGCUGGUUACAAGGGUUCCCAACCUAACUACACGGGAUUUGACAGUUCUGCAAACCACCAUGGUUAUGGUGAUGCCAAUGGUGUUGUGAGUACUCAAGGCUUUGUCCCAAUGCAAACCACGUACCAAGGCCAGAAACAAGUAAAUGCAACCUCGCAAGGGCACCUGUCAAAUAGUUAUUUUGGUACUGAAAACUCCAUGAACUUUAAUCAGCAACAAUUUCUGGGUGCAAAUGCGUCAAACUUGCAAUUCGAUCACUCCCCACAUGAAGGCAGGUCAUCGGCUGGUCGACCACCGCAUGCCCUUGUUACUUUUGGGUUUGGAGGGAAGCUCAUAGUUUUGAAAGAAACUAGCUCCAUGCCCGCAAGCUUUAACACUGGAAAUCAGGUAUCACAAUAGUUUCCUUUUGUAACGUAUUUUGUAAUGAAGGAACAUAUUUGAGUUGACUAAAUUACUAAAAUAUUUUUUUUCUUUUUCUUCUUGCAGUUCAAGGGUAACUCUAGUAGCACAGUUUCAGUUCUUAAUCUGUCGGAGGUGGUCAUUGAUAGAGUUGAUCCUUCAAGCAUCACUAAUGGUAGUGCACUUAGUUAUUUCCAUGCUCUGUGCCAUCAACCUGUUCCUGGCCCUCUGGUUGGUGGAAGUGCUGCAUCAAAGGAUGUAAAUAAGUGGCUUGAUGAAAUGAUUGCAUGGUACGAGUCUUCCUCUAGUGAAUUCCAGAAAGGUGAUACUCGCAAGUUGCUUAUUUCAUUGUUGAAGAUACUAUCUCAGCACUAUGGAAAACUCCGUUCACCUUUUGCGUCUGACCCAUUGCAAGAGGUACUUCCUCUCAUACUCUAUUCUGUAAUUGAAUGUUCAUUUAUAUAUCUCCUCUGUUUUCUCUGGUCUGCUUUCCUUUUCUAUCCUUAUUUAUUUUUACGACUUGCAUUAGAAAACAUUGUGCCAUGGUGAUUUGUUUCGAGUUGGAUGGUGUAAACCAAAACAUAAGUUGGAUAAGCUACUAAACUUCAGAUUUAUAUAUACUCAUACAACCUAGAAUUUUUUUACGAACAGUGUUUCAACCAUGUAAAGUUAUAAAUACCUGUGAUCAGCAUUGUCACAUGGGAACUUUGCUCGAUUUCAUAUUUUCAUGUUUGAUUAUGAUGGGGGAUUCAACUACUUUCUUAACUCGUAGUUUGUAAACAAUGUCUAAUUUUAUAUUUGUGCAUAAUUGUUACAUGAAUUCUUUAUAAUAGGAGACAAAUGGUCCAGAAAUGGCAGUAACUAAGCUAUUUUCAUCGUGUAAGAGAAGCACUGCUCAUAUGGGAGAUUAUGGAUCCAUUGUUCCGUGCAUGAAAAAUAUUGCUUCAGAAAGUCAGAUGCAGGUAAUUUUUAUUUAUAAUAUUCUGCCCUUUAUUUUUAGCAAAUGUCCCUUAUUGAAACAACUACUAUUCUUUUAGGCUGUUGCACAAGAGGUGCAAAGUCUUCUAGUUUCUGGGAGAAGAAAAGAGGCCCUUCAGUGUGCCCAGAGAGGUCAACUUUGGGGACCUGCAAUCAUACUGGCAUUGCAGCUUGGUGAUCAGGUCUGUUUGACUUUAAACAACCCCCCUUUCGUAACGUAGCAUGUUGCUCGACUUCCUGUAAUCCUGCCUGGUUUUCAUUUCCAUGUUAGAUUCAUUGUUUUUUUCCUGGACUGUUGGUACAGUUUUAUGUGGAUACAGUGAAGAAAAUGGCUCACUUCCAUUUUGUAUCUGGGUCCCCUCUGCGAACGCUAUGCCUUCUCAUUGCUGGACAACCUGCAGAUGUUUUUAAUGUAGAGAACAAUGUCAACAGUGACUAUGGUACAUCCCGUCAACCUAUGGAGGUACUUGCAAAGUUAAUUGGUCUUUUAGUUGUUAAAUGUAUUACUGUUAUGACCGUCAAGUACUGAUUAUAUAAUUCAAAUUCAAAAUUAUAAAAAAAAAAUCUUUACCUUGUUGUCAUUGCUGAUCACCUGUGUGAUUAAUGAUUUCAUAAUGUCUUGUUUACUGCAAUGUCAUGACUUUUGGGUAUCGUUUAUCAAUAUUUUUUCUGGGUUUCUGUUGUACUAUCUAACUUCUUUCACAAUUUGUUCUUUUUCUUUCCUGAGUCAGCCUGGUCCUAAUGGUAUGUUGGAUGAUUGGGAGGAGAAUUUGGCUAUAAUUACUGCAAACAGAACGAAAGGUGACGAUCUAGUAAUCACCCAUCUUGGUGAUUGCCUCUGGAAAGAAAAAUAUGAGGUUUGUAUCAUUAUAUCAUAUUUGUUUUUAGAUUCAGUUUUCCUACUCUUUUGUGUAUAUGCGGUCAAGUACCUUAUGCACAAUGUAUACAGGUUGCAGCUGCCCAUUCAUGCUAUUUAGUUGCUGAACUAAAUAUUGAUUCAUACUCGGAAAGUGCAAGGUUAUGCCUCAUUGGUGCAGACCACUUGAAGUGUCCUCGAACAUUUGCCAGCCCUGAAGCCAUUCAGGUUUGGCACUAUAUGUUUUACCUGCAAAAAAGUUGUGUAUGCUGUAUGGAGUAGACAUUUACUUAAAACAUCUUUUUCGCUCAGUUGCCUAGUUAGACAUUGCCUAGAUGUGGCUAGCUUUAAAAAAUAUAUUAUACGGAUCCAUUGGCAAGAUUAUGCUUAGUUAUUUAUUGGUUUAUUUUUUUUGCUAUUCACUGUCUGGACUAAUAUCUUCAAAAUGCAAACAGAGGACAGAGGUUUAUGAAUACGCGAAGGUGCUUGGUAAUUCUCAGUAUAUUCUACUACCCUUUCAGCCAUAUAAGCUGAUAUAUGCAUACAUGCUUGUGGAUGUGGGGAAGGUUUCUGAUUCUUUGAGGUAUGUUGUUGGCUUGUUCAUAACAAUCAAAUGACACAAUCCUUUCCCUAGCUUGUACUUGUACAUUAUCACGCAGUUGAAUAUUAACUUCUCUAGGUAUUGCCAAGCAUCUAUGAAGGUGCUGAAAGCCUCUGGUGGUGCCCCUGAAUUGGAGGUGUGGAAACAAUUAUUUUCUUCACUGGAGGAGAGGAUACGCACUCACCAGCAGGUAUGACCAUACCAUUUGGUAUAUUGCUUAUUGCAAAUCUUUGCUUGCUUUAUAUCUGGUGUUCUCUUGCUCUUUUCCUUGUUCAUUUACAGAUUGACCAACUCUCUUUGCUUGUUUUUUUUUUCUGUAGGGUGGAUAUGGAACAAAUCUUGCCCCAGCAAAACUAGUUGGGAAGAUUUUUACCUCGCUUGAUAAAUCUAUAUCCCACAUGAUGGGUACACCAUCUGCACCACUUCCACCAUUACCACAUGGAUCUGUUAGUGAUAGAGAGAGCCACUCUAUGCCUGCAGCAGCAAAAUUUGGAAAUAGCCAAUCGGCAAUGGCCAUGUCAUCGUUAAUGGCAUCUGCUUCAAUGCAGUCAAUGACUGAGAUAGCAGAGAAUAGUGGUGGCACUGGCAGGACAAUUGCACAGAACAGAAGUGUUUCUGAGCCGGAGUUCGGUAGAACAUCAAAACAGGUACUUGCAAAGAGAAAUUUUAAGACAUUAAUUUCUGGUUAUGUUGAAUUUGAAAGAUCAUAUGGUAUUUCUCCCCUUGUCUCAUUUGAAAAACCUAACAGGGUGCUGGAUCAGAUGGCACACAGAGUAGUGCAUCAGGAUCUGGUAGUUCUCGAUUUGGUUGGCUAGUGCAGAAGACUAUGGAUUUAGUGUCGAAAUCCCACCGCCAGGUAUUUUUUACUAAGUUAUGAAAUGACUAUUUCCAGUUUUUGCCUCCAUCUUGUCUCUUCUAUAUGCAACACCAACCUUAAGAUCCUAUUUCUGUUAUGAAGGCAAAAUUAGGGGAUCAGAACAAAUUUUACUAUGAUGAAAAGUUGAAGCGGUGGGUGGAAGAAGGUGCUGCUGUUCCUGCCGAGGAGCCUCCUCUUCCUCCACCUCCAACAAAACCAUCUUUCCAGAAUGGUAUGCCAGACCAUAAGUUGAAUGGCCCCGUGAGUGUAAACCAUGCUCCCAAUGGAGUCACAGAAUGGAAAUCCUCAAAUUCUUCGGAUCAAGGAGGUCUGGGUAUGCCUCCAAUUCCACCUAGCCAAAACCAGUUUUCUGCUCGUGGACGGAUGGGUGUCCGGUCCAGGUAAUUCGACAGUGGCAUUGUCAUUUAGUACUCUGAAUUAUUAUUUCUAUAUUGCUAUCUAAGGUAUUAUACAGAAAACUGAUGGCUUUUCUGUUUUCAUUUUAGAUAUGUUGACACAUUCAAUAAAUCGGGUGCGUCUGGAGCAGUGCCAUCAUAUAACAAACCAGCUGCUCCAUCUGUGACACCACCAGCUGGUGCCAAGUUCUUCAUGCCGACUGCAGCACCUGCUGCUGCAGAUCAGAUGGUGCCACACCAAGCGGCAGAGAUACACAGUGAAACCAUCCAUCAGGAUGAGCGGUCAGCCUCACCACCAGCAGAAACAUCAAUUUCUUCAACCCCACCACCCACACAAUUUUCAUCACCCCCACCGCACUUGCAAUUUUCAUCACCAAUGCAAUCAACAAUUCAUCGGCAAUCUAGUAUGGAGAAUAUCUCCACCCCUUACCUGGGUUCUGGGGUAUCAUCAUUAAGCAGCAGCAGCUCAUUCUCAAAAUCACGAGCCGCAUCCUGGAGUGGGACAUACUCUGAGCAGUAUAGUGCUUUUGCGGGCACUCAAUCACCUGACAGACAGACGAUGCCUUCACCACUCAUGCCUGGCAAACCAUCACACAGUCGUUCCAACAGCAACUCAUCACUGCAGCUCAAUGGAUUGGCAGAGGAUCUUCAUGAGGUUGAGCUCUAACUGAUCACUGCUCAGCAUGACCUCAUGUCUUGUAUCCACAAAGACAGCCAUGGCAACCGCUGACGGUUCCAGAAACCCCAAAGCGGGUGUCAGAAAAGAAGCUGCCCUCACAAUGCUGAUCACAGGGAUGACACAGUUGGAAUGGGUUGGUGCCACUUUGCACGGGAUUCUGGGGGCGCGCUCUAAACCACCGAGGUGCGUCAGACCUGUACUAACAGAAAUGCAGGGUUUUUGAACAUUUUGUAGUUAUAUCUCCUAUACAACUAAAAAGAAGAAAAGUAAGAUCACCAAAUGGUGCGAUAAUUUUUUGGGUUGCCCCCACCUCUCCUUGCGAUUCUAAGGUGGAAGGGUGCAAAAACAAAUAAAGAAUAAGAAUGGAUUCCUGAUGUAAAUAUACAAUAGAGAAACAAUAUAUAAAUGUGGAGGUGGAAGGGAAAGGAUUCCUGAUGUAAAAUGGUCUUUUGUGGCCGUGCGAUGUUUGCCAUAGAUGCGAUACAGUCGGUGGUGCGACAAUUUCGGCAACAAAAAUCAACCGCCCAUAAAAUACAAUUUUGGCAACCUGCGAUUACGGCAACAAAAAUCAACCGUGAUUUUUGGCUACGGAAGUUGGAGUGCUUUCUAUAAUUCCAUCCUCGCGAAAUCAAUCAGGGCACGCGCAGGACCUUUUCCAUCGCCGUCCUAUUUAUUCGGUCGAGGAGGAUGCGAGGUGCUGGCGGGUCUCCUCGGUCCCGCGGGCACCAACCAACUGUGAACAAGCUCCGUGGCAAUGCGCCGGCCACGCGGCCGAUAAUAAAGCCAAAUAUUUUACUAUAAACUAAACAAAGUCAUUAGAGAAUCUUCAAGAGCCUUUCUAUAUCUUAUUCUCUAAAUCAUUACUUGGAGAGCCAUUUAUAUAAAAAUCGUUUUCUAUAUUUUUUUUACUUUCGAACAGUUUUGCUAAAUCUCAUACGCAUUCUAUAGAGUCAUUCUCGUCUUCUAUAUUUGGCUAGCGAAAAAUCUGAAAUAGACAUGCGAUGAGUCUGGUCGGAAGAAACCUAUGUGUAGGAGACAUUUUGGACCUUUUUGAGCAAGGUGGCUGUCUGUCCCAUCGCGGCGAUCAGAUGUGCUCGUAUACUGGAUCGGACGCCCUGGCACUCCGGGGUAUCAGAGAGUCGGUCCAGAUUCGCCAUGGCGACAGCCACGUUGGCGCUUGGCGUCUUGUAGACUGGCUGAUCUCCGACCAUGUCAAAAGCAUCACUAAGGUUGUGCGGCGCAAGUUGCCGUUCUUCAUCUGCGCGCCGCCGAGCACGAUCAGCAUUGCGCUGUUCGCGGAGUUGUUUCUGCUCGUCUGUUUCGCCGUCGACAACGGGUUCGUCAUUGCUGACGUUAAAAAUAAGGUCUCCUCGCCGAGGUGGAAAGACCGGGAAACGAGAAAAACCCGGAGGAUAAUGGUGGUAGAUCCAGGUCGUAAUCUUCGUCCUCGGAGUGUAAAACUUUGGUGGGGACGGACCCUGUGCUGGAGUUUGUACUGGUGGCCUUGUCGUCUGGCAGGACUCGGAUGGAUACCAUGUUGACGUAAUGGCGAGCUGUUUGGCUGCUCUGUCCCGGCGAUAAGCCCGCCCUGCUGAAAAGAGAUUGGGUGUGCCGUGAAUAGUGGUCGGCCGAGUUGCUUAGACCGUAAGGGUGGUUCUGGUCUUGAGCUGUCUUGAGCUUGAUGGGCCGUCCCGCGGGGGUCGAUGUUAUUGUUAGGGACGUCUCCAGCUGUUCGUGUGUGAUGACACGAGUUGGCCGGCAGGAGUCGAAAAAGUUUGUUGACGUCGCCUGGUCGGGUUUUCGCGAGAUCGAAUCCAUGAGAUCCGAGGCUUCGAGGAGCCUGAGAUCGGCGCAAUCAAGAGCUCGGAAAAGAUCCGAGUCGUCGACCUUUUUUCCCCUAUAACGAGGGAGCGGAGGUCGGGUGCUCGGAGCCGGCGUGAUCGGAAUCGACGCCCUUGCUGUCUCAGAUCGGAUCUGGGCUCCUUCCGAGGUCGUGGUCGUGAAGCCGCCACCAUGAGUCGUCCACGUGAUCUGGCCGACGGUGAACGUGAGGCCUUCCGCCACGGCCGCGGAAGCUGGAACGAUGACCAUCUUGUUCGUCGAGAGAGCUGUACGCACACCCCCUACCUGGCGCGCCACUGUCGACGAAAGCUAGUCGGCAGUCUACCUUGGGGUAUACCCACGGUAGUAGUUUAUUGGUAGACGGUGCGCAAGCUACGAACUCGAUGGUGACGCAAGACACAGACAAAAUUUUUAUCCAGGUUCGGCCGCCGUGUGGGCGUAACACCUACGUCCUGCGUCGUCUGAUUGUAUUGGAUUGUGUUGAGAUAAUCUGUCCUAAGGGGGGUCCCUUGCCUCUCCUUAUAUAGUCCAGAGGGCAGGGCUACAGAUCUGGAAACUAAUCCUAGUCGGCUACAAUUGCCAUAGAUAGUACGAUAUCUAUUCCUAUUCUAACCGACUAGAUUCCUGCUUGAUCCCCACGUCUUGUUUUCUCGCUUGAAACUCCGAACAGUCGAAUCAAGCCUCGAACUCGUCUCGUAAUGGGCCGAGCCUCCUGGCCCAAGUCUAUCCGUAAGGGUAUAGGGGUUUAUACCCCCACAGCUGGUACAUGCCAAGUGAUGGAGCAAGUGAUGAUCAUGGUGAUGAUGGCGAUGAAAAUGAUCAAGUGUUCAACUUAGAAAAGAAGAAAGAGAAAAACAAAACCCUAUGAAGAUCAAGGCAAAGGUAUUGCUUAGGGUUUUGGUUUUGGUGAUCAAGACACCAUAGAGGGUGUGAUCACAUUUAGGAUAGAUAGCCGUACUAUAAAGAGGGGAAUUCUUUGGCUAAGCGGUUAUCAAGUGCCACUAGGUGUCUUUGUUCAUGUGCAUGCAUUUAGAACCUAGUGAGCUAACUUAACUCAUUCGAAGAAAAUGAUUGUGAAAAUGCUAACACACGUGCACAUGUUGGUUUACACAUUGUGGUGUUGGCACACUUUGAGAAGGAGGUGGAGUUUGAAGGGUAGAGAGAGGAUGGGUUCCUCUCUCCCUCCCGCCGAGCUUGCGAGACGGGAUUCGGCGCUUUUCGAGAAAAUGAAGUGCAUAUCUUCUAUUGCGCCGGUGGGAAAGUUGGACAAGUCGCGGGAGUGUUUCUCGCUGAGGAACACUCACCGGACGCUGGCUUCUGGAGCACCUGACGCUGAGUCUGAGCGUCCGGUGCAGUCAGUGCCUGACUCAGUUAGGGUAAGGCACCGGACGCCAGGCACCGGACGUAGGCUGGAGCGUCCGGUGUUCUGAGUCCGGUGUCUGCGCGUUUUGCAGUGCUCCCUAGGUUUAAGUCCGGUGAGCACCGGACGUAGGCUGGAGCGUCCGGUGACCUUGCGCGUUUGCAGACCUUCCUGAGUUUAGGACCGGUGUGCACGGGACGCGUCCGGCGGCAACUUGCUCAGCGUCCGGUGCUCUGCAGGUUACCGUUAGACUCUGACACGUGGGUGACUUUGGAGCACCGGACGCAGGUGUUGAGCGUCUGAUGCCCCUUUAAGAGCGUCCGGCGACCCCGUGUUUUGUCCAGUGAAAGAGCCAACGGCUCUAUUUGUUUGAGGGGUCUAUAAAUAGUUGUUGGCCGGCUUGGGGCUCACUCUCUUGGCAUUCUAGCAUACUUGACAUCCUUGUGAGCCUAAGCAAACACCUCCCACUCAUCUCCUUCAUAGAUUAAACAUCUUUGUGAGAUUGGGAGUGAUUCCAAGUGCAUUUGCUUGAGUGAUUGCAUCUAGUGGCACUUGUGGAUCGUUCUACCUGCGAUUUUCUUGUUACUCUUGGUGGUUGCCGCCACCUAGACGGCUUGGAGCAGCGGAGGAGGAUUGACACGAGUUGGUGAUUGUUCGUAGCCAUCUUCCGGUGAUUGUGAGGGGUCUUGUACCUUCACCGGUGGAGAGCCGAAAGGUAACUCUAGUGGAUUGCUCGUGUCAUUGAGCUACCUCACUUGUGGGUAGGUUCUUGUGGUGUCCUAGUGAGGACGAGGUUCGUGCUACACCUCUUAGCCACCGAACCACCAAGUGUUGGUCGACACAAUAGGGACGUAGCGUGCCGGCAAGCACGUGAACCUCGGGAGAAAAUCGUGUGUCUCCAUUGUGAUUGUACUUUGGAUUUCUCCCGGUAAUUGGACGUCAUAUUAUUGAUUGGUUCAUCCCCUCUACGCGGCGGUAUAAAGAUCAAACCAUCUCUCUUACUUUCCCGCAAACUAGAGUAGCUUACUUCUUGUAUAGAAACUUUAGAUAGCUCUCUAGUGUAAGUAGUGACGUAGCUCUUGUGUGCCUAGUGAUCAUUUCAACUAGAAUUGUUGGAUAGGUGGCUUGCAAACACCCCAUUAGAGCUAGAGCAAAAAGCUACGCUUUGUUAUUUACUAACCACUUGCUCUAGUGAGUUUUGUAGAUUUUUUAAAUAGGCUAUUCACCUCCCUCUAGCCAUAUUAGGAUCUUUCAAUGGGUCAGCAGGUGUCCCCGAGUUUCUACGAGCACACGAUGAUAUAUGAGCAAGGUGAACCUGUCCUCGCCACGACGGUGGCAAUCGUGGCCAAGUGAAAGGAGAUGUGUACCACUGCCUGCAUCGCCUCGUGGUACAACCAAUAAUCCCAUUUGUAUCUACGCCACAAGCAAGAACUGACCAUAUCGUCGCUCUUGCAUGUGCCACCUCACUACAUUCACGGUGCCCGCUGAAGUAUUGACUAUUGCUAUUUACUAAAAAAUUGGUUCAAUUAGUAUUGGCACUGAAUGUGAACAAUGUCUAGACAAAGCUCUUUGCCUUUUCUAGAAAAGCAAUGAAGAAAAACUGAAAAAUAAUAUCAAUAAGCUCUCUUAGGCAUAUAUAGACAAAUAGCCUUUCGUUUCUUACCUACGUAACCUGGUCCUAGAUAAUUGACAACCAAUGCUAGGGUGAACAAACAACUACCAAUUUGACCUCUGGAUGUGCUUUCUAAUUUGCAUGUUUAGACAAUUCUUACAUCAUUAGAAUCCAUCUAAAUUCACAUCCUAUAGUUAAUAGAGCUUGUUGCCGGGAAACAAUUCAUAGUUCUACACUAAAUCAAAAUUCCUCACUGUAAACUAUGAGAAUUGAGCAAGUAACAAGCACAUACACUACUAUUGUUACUGUGACCAAAUAAAAAAAAUGUAUGAACAGAUCCAUAGUGAUCCAUUCAACCAUCCUACUUUCCUAAAAUAAUAGACGUGUUCACUCAUAUUUAUUGGAACUCCUUACUUCUAGAUUCACACAUUGUAGGUGGGCAGCGAGGGACAUUACACAUUAGACAUGGUGUGGUGCAAACACGUACAUAUCGUUGAGGAGCGAGGUGCGUUCUUAUUUUAUUCCUUGAGCUUGGAGAAGACUGCUAUGUGUAACACGCGGAAAGGUUAUAAUAGAGUUGAUGAGUCUAUGACACCGAUCUCUAUGUGACCUAUUAAUUUUACAAAAUUUAAUUUUUAAAUUAAAUGUCACUUUAAAGGUGAAAUUUAAUUUUAUAGUAUUAUAUUAUCUUAUCAUGUGAUUCGUAUAUUUUUAAUAUAAAAGUUUAGUUAUCCCGUAGUAACACGAGCAUUCUAGAAGCGAUGCCUUUGGUUGGUGGUAGUUGCACAUGAGCAGGACAGCAAAGUGUGGUCGAACCAAACCAACUGAGGUGAGAUGAGAUCCCUGACACGUCACCAGAAAGAAAGAAAAAAACUCAUCAGAUCUUCAUCGGAUUUUGAAGGGGAAAAUGUGGAAAAUGGAAGGAUACAUACAGGAACAAGAGAGAGAGAGAGAGAGAGAGAGAGGCAAGAGCAAGAAGUGCCACGGCCACGGGUGGCGCGAUGCGACGUCGGCUGUCGUGCUCGUGACCGCCCUCCCGCCUCCUCCACCUCCUGCGAUUCCGAUCCGCUGCCCUGUCUGGCCGGCCGGCCGGCCGGCAAGCCCCGCCUCCGCCUCCGCGCCUGCCUCUCCCCUCUCCCAUUUCGUUUCAAUUUAGAGCUGGGAGCAACCAACCAACCAACCAACCCUAGAUCCACCACACGAGAGGAGAGGAGAUCUCCCCGUCCCCGAUCCAAUUCCGCAGAGAUGGACUCCUCCUCCCCCUUCUCCCCUGACGACCAGACCGACGCCGACUUCUUCGACAAGCUCGUCGACGACGACGACAACCCCAUCCCGCCUCCCGCCACCGACUUGCCUCGGUCCGUCUCCGCCACCAGCCUCGACGCCGCAGACGACCACGCCCCACCGCCAGCCACCGACUUGCCUCGGCCCGUCUCCGCCACCAGCCUCGACGCCACAGACGACCCACCCGCCCCGGAGCCGCAGCCUCCGGCUCCCGAGGGGUCAGGCAAGGACGGCGCCGGCGUCCACACCGCGGUCAAGCAGGUGCAGUGGGCCUCCUUCGGAGGUGGCGCGGACGACGGUCCUGAUCCGUUCGCUGAUCUCUCGGGAGGCGCCGGCGACGACGACGGCUUCCUCGGGAGCACGGCCGGGACCCAGACGGCCUCGGAUCAGGACUUCUUCGCUGGGACCAACUCCUCCUCCGAUCAGCAGAAUGUCAAUGGUCAGCACGACCAGGGAGGUGGCACCAGCACUGCAGUGGACUCAGCAGAUCCCAAAUCUUGGGAGGCCAUGUACCCUGGGUGGAAGUACGACGAGGCAUCGCAGCAGUGGUACCAGCUUGAUGGCAGUGUAAAUUCAACCGGGAAUGCAGCUCAGGUGCUGGAGAAUAGCACUCAGAAUGCGCAGCAGCAGCAGCUCGACACGUCUUACCUGCACAAUUCGUCCCAUGCGGGGCUCGAGACAAUUGCCGAGGAGGGCACUGCCGCAGCUGGUGCUGUCUCAAGUUGGGGCCAAGGGGCCGCCUCAGAGUACCCACCCAACAUGCUCUUCUACGCAGAAUACCCUGGUUGGUACUUUGACACCAACACUCAGCAGUGGCACUCGCUUGAGUCGUACCAGCAGGCCGCUAUGCAGGCUGGAACAGCUAGCACGGGUCAGACUGUUGUUGCAAACGAUGUUGUUGCUGCGAAUUCCUCCUCUCUGACAGGCUAUAAUGCUGCACAAACUGAGGACCUUGCUGCCCACAAUCAGGUGACCCAACACAACUCAUUCUCAAAUAGUUUCACUCUGCAGAACCAAUGGCAGACUACGGAUGCAUUUGGUAACAAUGUACGAUCUGAAAGUGCUACGGAUAACAGCCUGGCUAGUAGUUUCUAUGGUUUUGAACAAAACAGGAAUGCUGAGACUACCACUUCCUCUAUGAGCCAACAGGCUGGUUUUAACACAGCGGAAACUGUUACAGAUCACUAUGGUGCACGCAAGGGCUUUGAAUCAUCAAGUCUUCGGAGUGGUUAUAGCUCAUCUGACAGUCAGCAAUCCAGUUACAAGGCAUUCGAACCUUCCACGGGUUAUCAGACUGGUUACAAAGCGUUUGAACCUGCCAUGGAUAACCAGAGUGGCUACAAGGCAUUACCUUCUACGGGUCACCAUAACGCUUCCCAGGGAUUCAUGCCUUCCACGGGUCACCGGACUGAUUUCAAGGGUUCCGGAGCUUCCACAGUUCACCAGGCUGGUUACAAAGAGUUUGAAACUUCUACAGGUUACAGUACAAGUUUCAAGGCAUUUGAACCCUCUUCAUCUCAACAUGCUAGUUACAAGGGUUCCCAACCUAACUACACAGGAUUUGACACUUCUGCAAACCACCAUGGUUAUGGUGAUGCCAAUGGUGUUGCGAGUACUCAAGGCUUUGUCCCAAUGCAAACCACGUACCAGGGCCAGAAACAAGCAAAUGCAACCUCGCAAGGGCACCUGUCAAAUAGUUAUUUUGGUACUGAAAGCUCCAUGAACUUUAAUCAGCAACAAUUUCUGGGUGCAAAUGCAUCAAACUUGCAAUUCGGUCACUCCCCACAUGAAGGCAGGUCAUCGGCUGGUCGACCACCGCAUGCCCUUGUUGCUUUUGGGUUUGGAGGGAAGCUCAUAAUUUUGAAAGAAACUAGCUCCAUGCCCGCAAGCUUUAACACUGGAAAUCAGGUAUCACAAUAGUUUCCAUUUGUAACGCAUUUUGUAUUGAAGGAACAUAUUUGAGUUGACUAAAUUACUAAAAUAUUUUUUUUCUUUUUCUUCUUGCAGUUCAAGGGUAACUCUAGUAGCACAGUUUCAGUUCUUAAUCUGUCAGAGGUGGUCGUUGAUAAAGUUGAUCCUUCAAGCAUCACUAAUGGUAGUGCACUUAGUUAUUUCCAUGCUCUGUGCCGUCAACCUGUUCCUGGCCCUCUGGUUGGUGGAAGUGCUGCAUCAAAGGAUGUAAAUAAGUGGCUUGAUGAAAUGAUUGCAUUGUACGAGUCUUCCUCUAGUGAAUUCCAGAAAGGUGAUACUCGCAAGUUGCUUAUUUCAUUGCUGAAGAUACUAUCUCAGCACUAUGGAAAACUCCGUUCACCUUUUGCGUCUGACCCAUCGCAAGAGGUACUUCCUCUCAUACUCUAUUCUGAAUUUCUGAUUGAAUGUUCAUUUAUAUAUCUCCUCUGUUUUCUCUGGUCUGCUUUCCUUUUCUAUCCUUAUUUAUUUUUACAACUUGCAUUAGAAAACAUUGUGCCAUGGUGAUUUGUUUUGAGUUGGAUGGUGUAAACGAAAACAUAAGUUGGAUAAGCUACUAAACUUCAGAUUUAUAUAUACUCAUACAACCUAGAAUUUGUUUACGAACAGUGUUUCAACCAUGUAAAGUUAUAAAUACCUGUGAUCAGCAUUGUCACGUGGGAACUUUGCUCGAUUUCAUAUUUUCAUGUUUUAUUACGAUGGGGGAUUCAACUACUUUCUUAACUCGUAGUUUGUAAACCAUGUCUAAUUUUAUAUUUGUGCAUAAUUUUUACAUGAAUUCUUUAUAAUAGGAGACAGAUGGUCCAGAAAUGGCAGUAACUAAGCUAUUUUCAUCGUGUAAGAGAAGCACUGUUCAUAUGGGAGAUUAUGGAUCCAUUGUUCCCUGCAUGAAAAAUAUUGCUUCAGAAAGUCAGAUGCAGGUAAUUUUUAUUUAUAAUAUUCUGCCCUUUAUUUUUAGCAAAUGUCCCUUAUUGAAACAACUACUAUUCUUUUAGGCUGUUGCACAAGAGGUCCAAGGCCUUCUAGUUUCUGGGAGAAGAAAAGAGGCCCUUCAGUGUGCCCAGAGAGGUCAACUUUGGGGACCUGCAAUCAUACUGGCAUUGCAGCUUGGUGAUCAGGUCUGUUUGACUUUAAACAACCUCCCUUUUGUAACGUAGCAUGUUGCUCGACUUUCCUGUAAUCCUGCCUGGUUUUCAUUUCCAUGUUAGAUUCACUGUUUUUUUUCCUGGACUGUUGGUACAGUUUUAUGUGGAUACAGUGAAGAAAAUGGCUCACUUCCAUUUUGUAUCUGGGUCCCCUCUGCGAACGCUAUGCCUUCUCAUUGCUGGACAACCUGCAGAUGUUUUUAAUGUAGAGAACAAUGUCAACAGUGACUAUGGUACAUCCGGUCAACCUAUGGAGGUACUUGCAAAGUUAAUUGGUCUUUUAGUUGUUAAAUGCAUUACUAUUAUGACCGUCAAGUACUGAUUAUAUAAUUAAAAUUCAAAAUUAUAAAAAAUUCUUUACCUUGAUGUCAUUGGUGAUCUCCUGUGUGAUUAAUGAUUUCAUAGUGUCUUGUUUACUGCAAUGUCAUGACUUUUGAGUAUCGUUUAUCAAUAACUAGGUGAAUACCCCGCGCGUUGCUGCGGGAUUUUUUCUUAAAAAUAAAUCAUAUAUUAAUUUGACUUGCAUGUAUUUUAUUGUAUUAGAUCUAGUAAAAAAUUGCUAAGCUAAUAGAAGAAAAACUAAUAUUUGGUUACAUUAUAGAGGAAUUGGUGAUGAAACAAAUAGUGUAUGCACAUGACUUGUAUGUUAAUAGAUUAAAGAUUUAAAGUAUUUCACAUGAUAUAGAUGACAUUGUCAUUUUUUUGUAAUUAAUAGAUUAAAGAUUUAAAGUAUUUCACAUGAUAUAGAUGACAUGGUCAUUUUUUGUAAUUAAUAUGGGAUGACAUGAACUUAGUGGGGAAUGAUGUGGACACCUUGCAUGAAGAGAUAGAACAUUUAGUGGGUCACUUAGUGGGGAAUGAUGUGGACACCUUGCAUGGAGAGAGAAUUCAUCUAGUGGGGUUUAGCUUUAUAAGAGUAUAUGAUAUAUGAUAUGAUUUUUCUGGUUUUUCCUUUUACUAUCUAACUCUUUUCACAAUUUGUUCCUUUUCUUUCCAGAGUCAGCCUGGUCCUAAUGGUAUGUUGGAUGAUUGGGAGGAGAAUUUGGCUAUAAUUACUGCAAACAGAACGAAAGGUGACGAUCUAGUAAUCACCCAUCUUGGUGAUUGUCUCUGGAAAGAAAAAAAUGAGGUUUGUAUCAUUAUAUCAUAUUUAUUUUUAGAUUCAGUUUUCCUACUCUUUUCUGUAUAUGUGGUCAAGUACCUUUUGCACAAUGUAUACAGGUUGCAGCUGCCCAUUCAUGCUAUUUAGUUGCUGAACUAAAUAUUGAUUCAUACUCAGAAAGUGCAAGGUUAUGCCUCAUUGGUGCAGACCACUUGAAGUGUCCGCGAACAUUUGCCAGCCCUGAAGCCAUUCAGGUUUGGCACUAUAUGUUUUACCUGCAAAAAAGUUGUGUAUGCUGUAUGGAGUAGACAUUUACUUAAAACAUCUUUUUCGCUCAGUUGCUUAGUUAAAUAUGCCUUAGAUGUGACUAGCUUUAAACAAAUAUUAUACGGAUCCAUUGGCAAGAUUAUGCUUAGUUAUUUAUUGGUUUAUUUUCUGUUGCUAUUCACUGUCUGGACUAAUAUCUUCAAAAUGCAAACAGAGGACAGAGGUUUAUGAAUACGCGAAGGUGCUUGGUAAUUCUCAGUAUAUUCUACUACCCUUUCAGCCAUAUAAGCUGAUAUAUGCAUACAUGCUUGUGGAAGUGGGGAAGGUUUCGGAUUCUUUGAGGUAUGUUGUUGGCUUGUUCAUAACAAUCAAAUGACACAAUCCUUUUCCUAGCUUGUACUUGUACAUUAUGACGCAGUUGAAUAUUAACUUCUCUAGGUAUUGCCAAGCAUCUAUGAAGGUGCUGAAAGCCUCUGGCCGUGCCCCUGAAUUGGAGGUGUGGAAACAAUUAUUUUCUUCAUUGGAGGAGAGGAUACGCACUCACCAGCAGGUAUGACCAUACUGUCAUGUGGGGCCAAGCCUAUGCGCGCCGUAGGCGCAACCGUGACAUAAGGAGGGCCGAGGAGCGUGCAGAUCGCGCCCAGCUUGGCGCGCACGCGGGCCUGGCCGCGCCCAGUGGCUAGGAUAGGAAGGAAAGAUUUGUUUAGAUCCUAAAUUAUAGAAAGGAUUAGUUUGGUUUCCUUACGGCCUUCAGCCGAGGGACUAUAUGUACUAGCUUUGGACUUUGGAAUAAAGCAAGCAAUAUCAAUUAUCUAAACUCUCUUCUCCCUAAACCUCUCAAGCCCGAUCGUCCGAGAGGGGCAUAACCUCCGGAUCGGAAGAACGGCAGGAGACUACGAUCUUCGUAGUCGAGGGCCACCUACCCUAGAUUACCAGGCCCUUGACAACCUGGUAUCACGUGUCAGCCGAUCCUCUUCCACCCAAUCUGCUGCCGCCGCCGCCGCCGUUCCACGCCCAACACCGCCAGCAUCGCCAACAACCUCGAUCACCUCCACCCUGCGCCCGCGCCCAAUGGCCGAACCCACGCUCGCCGAUCUCCUCGCCGAGAUGAAGACCAUGGCUGCCGAGAUGAUGGUCCUCAAGGCCGACGUGGCUUCCGUCAAGGAGAAGACCGUCUCCUCUUCCAGUAGCGGCGACGGCCGCCCUGGGGGUCUUCACGAGCAGGAAUUCCACCCGAAACACAAGAAGUGGGACUUCCCGCGCUUCGACGGCACGACUGACCCGCUCCUCUUCAUCAACAAAUGCGACGCCUACUUCCGCCAACACCGCACACCAGUGGAAGACCGCGUGGCCAUGGUGUCCUACCACCUCGACGACGUCGCACAGCUCUGGUUCAUCCAGCUGCAGACGGACGACGGCACGCCGAACUGGACUCACUUCAAGGAUCUCCUGCACCUUCGGUUUGGCCCACCCCUCCGCUCCGCGCCGAUGUUCGAGCUCGCUGAGUGCCGGCGUACCGACACCGUCGACGACUAUUCCAACCGGUUUCAAGCCCUCUUGCCCCGAGCAGGCCGCCUCGAGGAGGAACAGCGUGUUCAGCUAUACACCGGCGGUCUUCUUCCGCCCCUGAGUCACGCCGUUCGCCUUCACAAUCCGGCUACCCUCGCCGAGGCCAUGAGCCUGGCCCGCCAGGUGGAGUUAAUGGAGUUGUCCAGGCCGGCUCCGCCACCGCCUGCUCGGGCACCCCCGCGCGGCUUGCUGCCCGCGCCUGCGCCGCGGCCGGCCCUGCCAGCUCCUCUAGCAGCUGCGCAGCAGGGCAAAGCGGAGGGCCCUCACCGUCGACUGUCCCCGGCCGAGAUGGCGGAACGGCGCCGCCAAGGUCUCUGCUUCAACUGCAACGAGCCCUACGCCAGGGGCCACAAUCGCUUCUGCAAGCGGCUGUUCUUUGUGGACGGGGUCGAGAUCGAUGCCACCGACGCUCCAGCAGCAGACACCGCAGAGGCGGACCCUGGAACCGAGGCGCCAUGUUACUCCCUGCACGCCGUCGCAGGAGUACCGGUCUCGGACACUAUUCAGAUCAAGGUGUCCGUAGGAUCGGCCUCCCUUCUCGCGCUGCUCGACAGUGGCUCCACGCACAGCUUCAUCAGCGAGGACGUGGCGCGCCUCACCGGCCUACCGAUCCAGGACCACCCGCGCCUGACAGCCACGGUUGCCAAUGGCGAACGCGUGGCCUGCCCGGGCGUUAUUCGGAACGCGCCUUUCUCCAUCAACGGCACCGCCUUCUCCACCGAUCUUUUUGUCAUGCCACUUGCAGGGUACGAGGUGGUGCUGGGGACGUGCUGGAUGCGCACGCUGGGCGACAUCGUGUGGAACUUCGCCGAGCGUGCGAUGUCCUUCCAAUUUGGCGGACGCAGCAUCACCUGGGCCGGCCUUCCGUCAUCAUCUGUCACCAGCCUGCGCACCAUCGCAGCGGCCAGUGGGACGCUGCUGGAUGAGCUCCUGGCCGCCUACGCCGACAUCUUCGCUGCGCCAUCAGGCCUUCCGCCACCGCGUACUCGGGACCAUGCCAUCGUCCUCAAGCCAGGUUCGGCCCCCGUCGCUGUACGGCCGUAUCGCUACCCGGCGGCCCACAAAGAUGAGCUGGAACGCCAGUGCGCCGUCAUGAUGGAGCAGGGCGUCGUCCGCCGCAGUGACUCGCCGUUUUCAUCCCCGGCGCUCCUUGUCCACAAAGCCGACGGGUCGUGGCGGUUCUGCGUCGACUACCGCGCUCUCAACGCGCUCACCGUCAAGGACGCUUUUCCCAUUCCAGUGGUGGACGAGCUACUCGACGAGCUCCACGGCGCGCGCUACUUCACCAAGCUCGAUCUGCGCUCCGGCUAUCAUCAAGUGCGGAUGCGGCCCGAGGACGUCCACAAAACGGCGUUCCGCACCCACGACGGCCUCUACGAGUUUUUGGUGAUGCCGUUCGGGCUGUGCAAUGCCCCGGCCACCUUUCAGGCACUGAUGAACGACGUCCUCCGGGCCUAUCUACGGCGGUUUGUUCUCGUCUUUUUCGAUGACAUUUUGAUUUAUAGCACCUCCUGGACUGAUCACCUCAGGCACCUACGCGUGGUCUUCGAGCUCUUGCGCCAGCACCAGUUGUUCGUCAAGCGCUCUAAGUGCUGUUUUGGGGUGCAAGCCGUCGCCUACCUGGGGCAUACCAUCUCAGCUGCCGGCGUCACCAUGGACCCCGCCAAGGUCCAGGCCAUCCACGAGUGGCCGCGUCCCCGUUCUGCUCGGGCAGUGCGCGGUUUCCUGGGCUUGGCGGGCUAUUAUCGGAAGUUUGUCCACCAGUACGGCUCCAUCGCUGCACCCCUCACGGCGCUAUUGAAGAAGGAUGGUUUCACUUGGAGCCCAGCGGCCGAGGAGGCGUUCAGCACCCUCAAGACCGCGAUCACCACGGCUCCUGUCUUGGCUCUUCCCGACCUCGCCAAGCCGUUCGUCGUAGAAUGCGACGCGUCGACAUAUGGCUUCGGCGCCGUACUCCUCCAGGAUGGCCAUCCGGUCGCUUUCUUCAGCAGGCCGGUGGCGCCCAGGCACCGCUCCCUCGCCGCGUACGAGCGAGAGCUCAUUGGCCUUGUGCUCGCAGUCCGCCACUGGCGGCCAUAUCUUUGGGGGCACCACUUCACCGUCAAGACUGAUCACCACAGUCUCAAGUUUCUUCUGGACCAGCGACUUGCCACCAUACCUCAGCAUCAUUGGGUUGGCAAGUUGCUCGGCUUUGACUUCGCGGUGGAGUACAAAUCCGGGGCCGCUAAUGUGGUUGCUGACGCCCUCUCGCGCCGGGAUGCUGAGGAGGACAGCAUGGGCGGGCUCCGCUCUAUCUCUGCUCCACGCUUCGACUUCAUCAACCGACUCCGUCAAGCUCAGGCUGUCGACCCCGCCUUGGUCGCCAUCCACGACGAGAUCCGCGCAGGUUCCAGGACAGCGCCCUGGACGGUCAAGGACGAUAUGGUGCUCUUCGACGGGCGUCUCUACAUACCGCUCGCCUCGCCCCUGCUCCAGGAAAUUGUGGCCGCCGUCCACGAUGAUGGCCACGAGGGCGUGCAGCGCACAUGGCACCGGCUGCAUCGUGACUUUCAUUUUCCCCACAUGCGCCGCAUCGUGCAAGACUUUGUGCGAGCUUGCGCCACGUGUCAACGCUUCAAGUCUGAACAUCUGCUACCGGCCGGACUGCUGCAGCCACUGCCGGUGCCGUCCGCUGUAUGGGCCGACAUCGGGAUGGACUUCAUCGAAGCACUACCACGGGUCGACGGCAAGUCCGUCAUCCUCUCCGUCGUCGACCGCUUCAGCAAGUACGGCCACUUCAUCGCUCUUGGCCACCCGAACACUGCUGAAUCAGUGGCCCAGGCGUUCUUCACCAACAUUGUCCGCCUCCACGUCGUACCGCAGUCCAUCGUCUCCGACAGGGAUCCGGUGUUCACGUCUGCCUUUUGGCGUGAACUCAUGCGGCUGAUGGGCUCCAAGCUGCAUAUGACCUCCGCAUUCCAUCCUCAGUUGGACGACCAGUCCGAAGCAGCAAACCGCGUCAUCGUCAUGUAUCUCCGCUGCUUUACUGGGGACCGACCGCGCCAAUGGCUCCGAUGGCUGCCAUGGGCGGAGUACGUCUACAACACGGCCUACCAAGCUUCGCUCCGGGAGACGCCGUUUCGCGUGGUCUACGGCCGCGAUCCUCCGACGAUACGCUCUUAUGAGCCCGGCGAAACCCGAGUUGCGGCCGUAGCCAGGGACAUGGAGGAACGCGAGGCAUUCCUUGCUGAGGUGCGCCACCGACUGGAGCAGGCCCAGGCAGUGCAGAAGCUGCACUAUGAUCGUCAUCAUCGGCAUGUCUCCUACGCAGAAGGUGAUUGGGUCCUGCUGCGUUUCCGCCAGCGUCCAGUGGCCUCUCUGCCCCACUCCACGGGCAAGCUAAAGGCUCGCUAUCUGGGGCCUUAUCGCAUAAUCCAGAAGAUCAAUGAGGUGGCCGUGCAGCUGGAGCUUCCCCCACAGGCGCGCAUCCACGACGUCUUCCACAUUGGGGUCCUCAAGAAGUUCCACGGACCUCCGCCGUCUACCCCGCCUCCCUUGCCGGACAUCAGACAUGGUACGGUCAGCCCGGUGCCAGACCGUGUCACUCAAGCUCGCAGGGUCCGUGGUGUCCUUCAAGUCCUUGUGUUUUGGCGAGGAGAACCAGCGUCUUCAGCUUCCUGGGAAGACCUCGACGAGUUCCGCGCCUCAUAUCCAGAUUUCCAGCUCGGGGACGAGCUGGCUCUCGAGGGGGCGAGAGAUGUCAUGUGGGGCCAAGCCUAUGCGCGCCGUAGGCGCAACCGUGACAUAAGGAGGGCCGAGGAGCGUGCAGAUCGCGCCCAGCUUGGCGCGCACGCGGGCCUGGCCGCGCCCAGUGGCUAGGAUAGGAAGGAAAGAUUUGUUUAGAUCCUAAAUUAUAGAAAGGAUUAGUUUGGUUUCCUUACGGCCUUCAGCCGAGGGACUAUAUGUACUAGCUUUGGACUUUGGAAUAAAGCAAGCAAUAUCAAUUAUCUAAACUCUCUUCUCCCUAAACCUCUCAAGCCCGAUCGUCCGAGAGGGGCAUAACCUCCGGAUCGGAAGAACGGCAGGAGACUACGAUCUUCGUAGUCGAGGGCCACCUACCCUAGAUUACCAGGCCCUUGACACAUACCAUUUGGUAUAUUGCUUAUUGCAAAUAUUUGCUUGCUUUAUAUCUGGUGUUCUCUUGCUCUUUUCCUUGUUCAUUUACAGAUUGAUCAACUCUCUUUGCUUUUUUUUUUCUUCUGUAGGGUGGAUAUGGAACAAAUCUUGCCCCAGCAAAACUAGUUGGGAAGAUUUUUACCUCGCUUGAUAAAUCUAUAUCCCGCAUGAUGGGUACACCAUCUGCACCACUUCCACCAUUACCACAUGGAUCUGUUAGUGAUAGAGAGAGCCACUCUAUGCCUGCAGCAGCAAAAUUUGGAAAUAGCCAAUCGGUAAUGACCAUGUCAUCGUUAAUGCCAUCUGCUUCAAUGCAGUCAAUGACUGAGAUAGCAGAGAAUAGUGGUGGCACUGGCAGGACAAUUGCACACAACAGAAGUGUUUCUGAGCCGGACUUUGGUAGAACAUCAAAACAGGUACUUGCAAAGAGAAAUUUGAAGACAUUAAUUUCUGGUUAUGUUGAAUUUGAAAGAUCAUUUGGUAUUUCUCCCCUUGUCUCAUUUGAAAAACCUAACAGGGUGCUGGAUCAGAUGGCACACAGAGUAGUGCAUCAGGAUCUGGUAGUUCUCGAUUUGGUUGGCUAGUGCAGAAGACUAUGGAUUUAGUGUCGAAAUCCCACCGCCAGGUAUUUUUUACUAAGUUAUGAAAUGACUAUUUCCAGUUUUUGCCCCCAUCUUGUCUCUUCUAUAUGGAACACCAACCUUAAGAUCCUAUUUCUGUUAUGAAGGCAAAAUUAGGGGAUCAGAACAAAUUUUACUAUGAUGAAAAGUUGAAGCGGUGGGUGGAAGAAGGUGCUGCGGUUCCUGCCGAGGAGCCUCCUCUUCCUCCACCUCCAACAAAACCAUCUUUCCAGAAUGGUAUGCCAGACCAUAAGUUGAAUGGCCCCAUGAGUGUAAACCAUGCUCCCAAUGGAGUCACAGAAUGGAAAUCCUCAAAUUCUUCGGAGCAAGGAGGUCUGGGUAUGCCUCCAAUUCCACCUAGCCAAAACCAGUUUUCUGCUCGUGGACGGAUGGGUGUCCGGUCCAGGUAAUUCGACAGUGGCAUUGUCAUUUAGUACUCUUAAUUAUUAUUUCUAUAUUGCUCUCUAAGGUAUUAUACAGAAAACUGAUGGCUUUUCUGUUUUCAUUUUAGAUAUGUUGACACAUUCAAUAAAUCGGGUGCGUCUGGAGCAGUGCCAUCAUAUAACAAACCAGCUGCUCCAUCUGUGACACCACCAGCUGGUGCCAAGUUCUUCAUGCCGACUGCAGCACCUGCUGCUGCAGAUCAGAUGGUGCCACACCAAGCAGCAGAGAUACACAGUGAAACCAUCCAUCAGGAUGAGCGGUCAGCCUCACCACCAGCAGAAACAUCAUUUUCUUCAACCCCACCACCCACACAAUUUUCAUCACCCCCACCGCACAUGCAAUUUUCAUCACCAAUGCAAUCAACAAUUCAUCGGCAAUCUAGUAUGGACAACAUCUCCACCCCUUACCAGGGUUCUGGGGUAUCAUCAUUAAGCAGCAGCAGCUCAUUCUCAAAAUCACGAGCCGCAUCCUGGAGUGGGACAUACUCUGAGCAGUAUAGUGCUUUUGCGGGCACUCAAUCACCUGAUAGACAGACGAUGCCUUCACCACUCAUGCCUGGCAAACCAUCACACAGUCGUUCCAACAGCAACUCAUCAGUGCAGCUCAAUGGAUUGGCAGAGGAUCUUCAUGAGGUUGAGCUCUAACUGACCACUGCUCAGCAUGACCGAGGUGACUCAUGUCUUGUAUCCACAAAGACAGCCAUGGCAAACCCCUGACGGUUCCAGAAACCCCAAGCGGGUGACAGAAAAGAAGCUGCCCUGACAACGCUGAUCACAGGGAUGCCACAGUUGGAAUUGGCUGGUGCGACUUUGCAUGAGAUUCUGGCAGCGCGCUCUAAACCACCGAGGUGCGUCGGACCUGUACUAAUAGAAAUGCAGGGUUUUUGAACAUUUUGUAGCUAUAUAUAGAUGUUGGUUUUACGUUUUAGAGAGAAGGGAAAGGGUUGGGUGGGCCUUGUUUACAGGUGAGAAGAGGAGAGAAGCAGCAUGCAGAUGCCCUUGUACAGAUAAUCUGCCCCUACCCAAUUUGUUUAAACGCAAAGAAACCCACACCCCCACUCCAUAUUGAUUUUCGUUUUUGGGAGAAGGAUAGAAGAGAAGGUGUGUUCUAGUAGUGUGAGAAGCAUGGCUCUGUAGAGUGUUGUUGUUAUAUCAUUAUAUGGUGUAGUGUCCUAGCCGUAUACACAGUAUAUUAUCACUGUUUAUUCUUUGGAGACGAAUCGAUUCUUUCAUCUUGAAACAAUUAGUGUUGCCUUGCCUUGUUGUAUCAUGGGCGAUGUGAUUGAUGCAAUUGUAUCUGUGGUCGACACAUGUUUUGUCCUGUCGCUGAUGGAGUCCGAGUCGGACGGGCACUCGCCGCUGCCUUUGAUAUAUUACCGGCCUGGGAGUUGCGCACCAACACAAUCGCUAGACCCGGGCUGGAUCAACAUGGCAGCGGAGAAGGACGACAAGGCAGACAGGGAGGAGAUCUUGUUGGAUGUCGACGACAAGGAGGUCUCCUUGGAUCUCGACGACAAGAAGGCUAAGGCUGCGGCUGCGGCUGCGGCGAUGGCAGGGCCAGGGGGUGCCAACAAGAAGACCAAGAUGGUGAUGGUGAGUAAAAGCAUCGUGGACGACCUGCUGGCAAACCCCCCCUGAGCCCCUGGGUGACACCUUGGCUUCUACUGCCGCUGAAUUGGGAUGGGAUACUGCCGUCUUUGCUAAGGUAGAUGCGCUCUUUGACAAGGAGCAUGCCCAAGACAUGAGCAUCAUUAGGCAGUGCCAGAACGGGUAUAAGGUUGUGUAUGAUCACUUGGGUUUUGAGAUGGUGGAGGUGGAGGUUGAUGACGACAGUGACGACGACUAAGGGCAUGGUGGAGGUGGAGGUCGGUGAUGACGAAUAGUGCCAAGACUAGAUAGAUUUCGUCAAAAUAAAAUUCUAGAUAGAUAGAUAGAUGGAUUCUUUUGGAGCCUAGAUAGAUCGCUCUAAUUAUGUUCUGUAUUUUGAUGCUAUUGAUAGCUAGGAAAAUUGAGCAUCAUAUUAUUUACACAAGCUCGACUGAUUUGCACAUAUCUCUGAGUCCUUUUUUUUUUUGUGUAUGUAGUUAUAAAUGCAGCGGUUUUACGGAAGUGUAGAUGAUAACUAAUACGUCAAGUAAACACGGCAGAAGCCAUCUUGACCACGUAGUACAACAGGUCGGAGCGGAGCAAUACAAAAUUGUUAAAUCCUCAAGGGAGGUGAGCCUUGCUCGUUCCCCGGCCUGGAUGGAACUCUAGAGAUGCUUCGACACAAAAAUGUACUACUCCUUGAACCUGGUGCGCCUGAGCUCAUCCACCACGUCGUCGAUGCAUGAGCUCGCUCCUUCUCCUUGACACGAGCAAUGCAAGCAAGGGAGCUUGUUCCCCACCCCACCGACCGCCCUCCCCUGUACACCACUAACCACCGUCUCCAUCCUCCCCACCUCACACUUGGGUUGCAGGUCCGUGGCAUGAUAUGAUAGCAGUGGAAACGGGAAAAUCAGUCAGUUCCGGUUUGCAAUAAAAGCCUUAGACUGUCUCCAACAAUGGUCACCCAAAAUACAAGACCUAUUUGUCCUUUGGGUAGCGCUACAGGUAAAAGGUUCCAUGCCUAUUUUUAGUCUUCUCCAACAACAAGACUUAAACUCUGCAAAUGGGUCUCGAAGAGAGAGAAUAUCCAAAUUUGGGUUAUGCCUCUCCUGAUACCCAAAAUGGGUCUUCUGUAUGGGUACUCUGUUGGAUGCUAUAGGUAUUGUGUUGGAAACCUAUUUUGGCUCUUCUAUCGGAGAUAGCCUUAGAUUUCAACUCCCAUUGGCUAUAGCAUACUACACUACUGACUUGCCGGGGAGGAAAUGAACAAAACUAGAGAAAACAGGAUGCAGUACCGCGUGGUUUUUGUUGGCACUUGGUGGUCUGGUGUGGUCAGAUUCCAAGCAAACCGCCUGCUCAUCAGCUCCAGGUUUUGCCUCGCCAGCUGGGCUGCUACUACAGCAGCCUGCAGCAGUAGUCCAUUGGCUGCUGAUUAGUUGCUGCUUUCCGAUACGAUCCAUCAUACGAACCUUUCAACGCACGUCCAGAUCAAUAUUCUAAUCCAGUGCUGUGCUUCCCUGGUUUUUGACUAGUAUAUAUAGGGAUUUGUAUACUCUAAUUAACCCUUCCUCUUCCACUGCAUGCUCUGAUUGCAAUCACAACUGGGAACCAAAUCAUAAUGCUACUACUAGACUAGAUAGAUUGUAUUUAAAUUCAUGUUUAAAUUAGAAAAAGGUAACAAAACCGUGCACCCGCCUUUGUUUGUUUCCAUCGCUACCUACACCUUUUUUUUAUUGUUGACGAUAAUCUUCUCCACCGGCUUCACUUAUAAAACUAUUUUAGAAAAAAAAAACAGUUCACAACAGCUUAUAAAGUUAUUAUAAACUAUAUUAAAUAGGCCCUUAACUAAAGUUUUAUAUAGUAUUCAUUUUUAAUGGAGGAGUAGAUAAGAUGGAGGUAUAUUAUAUUAAAACCAGCAGCUGUUGGAGGUAAAGUGGUUUUCAGUGAGUGGGGCCGGGGUAGAAAUGGAAUUGAAUAUAAAUAUAGCCCGAUGGACCUUUCACCUCCUACGACUACGAGUAGCCAUUGUCUCCACAUCCACCAAUCUCAUUCUCAUUCAGCAAGCGAGGAAGGAAAUCCUCUCGAUCCAAUUCCCCUAGAUUUGAUUUGAUUUGAACCUACCUUGCCAAUCAGAUCACACACAGCAGCAGCAGAUCACCACAAAUCACAAGAUGAAGAAGGCGUCGUCGCUGUCGGAGCUGGGGUUCGACGCCGGCGACGCGUCGUCAGGCUUCUUCCGCCCCGUGUCCGACUCCUCCUCCUCCGCCGCCGACGGGGUGGUGGUGACCCCGUCGGCGCACCGUCGGAGGCUGACCAAGGUAUCCGUGAUCGGCGCGGGCAACGUGGGGAUGGCCAUCGCGCAGACCAUCCUGACGCGGGACCUCGCCGACGAGAUCGCGCUGGUGGACGCGCUCCCGGACAAGCUGCGCGGGGAGAUGCUGGACCUGCAGCACGCGGCGGCGUUCCUCCCCCGCACGCGCCUGGUCUCCGACACCGACAUGUCCGUCACCAGGGGCUCCGACCUCGCCAUCGUCACCGCCGGCGCGCGGCAGAUCCCGGGGGAGACGAGGCUCAACCUGCUGCAGAGGAACGUCGCGCUGUUCAGGAAGAUCGUGCCGGCGCUGGCGGAGCAGUCCCCCGACGCGCUGCUGCUCGUCGUCUCCAACCCCGUCGACGUGCUCACGUACGUCGCGUGGAAGCUGUCGGGUUUCCCGGCCAGCCGCGUCAUCGGGUCGGGAACCAACCUCGACUCGUCCAGGUUCAGGUUCCUCCUCGCCGAGCACCUCGACGUCAACGCCCAGGACGUGCAGGUGCGUGCGUCGUCUCCAGUCGCCGUCGCUCCCCAGCUUUUUUUGUUCGAUUCCCGCGCCCUGUGCUGUGCUGCCCCCUGUCCUGUCCUCUGAUCGUGAUGGGACAUGACUGGUGGGGUCACGUGACACCUGGGGCCCAUCUCUCCACGGCCACUGGCCAGAGCAUGGCAUCAGUUCCCUUGGGAGGGAGGGAGGGAGCAUGUGAUCCCUCUCCAUGUGGGGCUGGAGCUCUGCUCGCAUUACUUUCAUCUCAUCUCACAGGGAUCUUGUUUAGUUCUAAAAAAUUUUUAUAAAAAAAUUUAGAUUCUCAAUCUUUUGACGCAGGUAUAGAACAUUAGAUAAAAAUAAUAGCUAAUUAUACAGUUUACUUAUAAUUUGCGAGACAAAUAUUUUGAGUCUAUUUGUGACAUACAAACGAACAAUGUUUAUUUUAUAAAAUUUUUUAGAACUAAUUAUACUUCUAAGCAUGAACAACUACAUGAUGAUAUCGAGAAACCUAGGCCUUGUUUAGUUCCAAAUUUUUUUUGCAAAAUCGACACUGUAGCACUUUUGUUUGUAUUUUACAAAUAUUGUCCAAUCAUGAACUAACUAGGACUCAAAAGAUUCGUCUCGUGAUUUACAGCUAAACUGUGUAAUUAGUUUUUGUUUUUGUCUAUAUUUAAUGUUUUAUGCAUGUGCCACGAGAUUCGAUGUGACGGAGAAUCUUGAAAACUUUUUGGUUUUCGGGGUGAACUAAACAAGGCCAUAGUAGACAGACAGUGUAAAGAGAGGACAGAACUGAUACUAGUAUCUUCAUAGUAAAUAUUUUCGAAUACAUAAAUGUUAAUUCUAUUUUUUAUAAACUUAGGACUUAUUUAGCUCAUCCAAAAACAUUUUUUAAAAAGAAAAUUUCUCAUCACGUCACAUCAAAUCUUACGGCAUAUGUAUGAAGUAUUAAAUAUAGUUGAAAAUAAAAACUAAUUACAUAGUUUGCCUAUAAAUCAUGAGAUGAAUCUUUUAAACUUAGUUAGUCUAUAAAAUUUUAAAAAAAAAUCGAAACUAAAUAAGGCUUAAGUAAAUUUUUUAAAAAAGUAAAACUGAGCAGUACGAGUAUAGUACUGGUUGCCCUCUUUCUCUUUCCGGGCGGCGCACAUGGUUGUCUCCUUGUGCCGACCACCUUCUUCAAGUCUGUCAAAAGGUCUCCUUGUGCACCUGCUAAGAAAAUGUCUUUGCACGUUCAACUAGAACCACGACUAAUGCUAGAUUGCUAGUAGUACGUCUAGUACCACAUGCACAUUCCAUGAACCAUGAUGACCGCCACUCCAAAGCUUUUUCAAAGCCACCAGCAGCUUCAACUAGAGCCACGAUGUUUGUUCUAAUAAAGUCUGUAACUCCAGCUUCAUUUCGUCCACUGUAGUACUCAUUAUUCAUUUCAAAGGCGCAUCAUUCUGCUAGCCAUCGAUAGUAUACUCGUACAUGCCAAGAGUAAUUUAGUGGACCAGCGCAUCUGAUUACAGCGGAAGCACCUCUCAAACAGAAUGUGACAUGUAUAGCACUAGCUCUACUUUCGCUAUUUCAGUUUAUCUUAGCUUAAUAACAUGUACAGUCGAGUCAGCACACAACGCCUAGCAGAUUCACCGUCACAAGAUUCACAAGGUUCUUCAUUUGAGCCUUUAAUAUAUAUAUAUAUAGUGCAAUACUAGUUUAAAGUUUAAAUACCUUUUUUCAUGUCAAUUGUUGCAUAAUCUUGACUGCUGAAAUGAGAUUCGCACGUUAUUGAUGGAUCGAUUUGUUUGUAUUGCAGGCGUACAUGGUGGGCGAGCACGGCGACAGCUCGGUGGCGGUGUGGUCGAGCGUGAGCGUCGCAGGAAUGCCGGUGCUCAAAUCUCUUCAGCAGAGCCACAGCAGCUUCGACGAGGAAGCCCUGGAGGGCAUCCGCCGCGCCGUCGUCGACAGCGCCUACGAGGUGAUCAGCUUGAAGGGCUACACCUCCUGGGCCAUCGGCUACUCCGUCGCCAGCCUCGCCGCGUCGCUGCUCCGCGACCAGCGCCGCAUCCACCCGGUCUCCGUGCUCGCCAGGGGGUUCCAUGGCAUCCCCGACGAGAACGACGUCUUCCUCAGCCUCCCCGCCAGGCUCGGCCGCGCCGGCGUCCAGGGCGUCGCUGAGAUGGAGCUCACCGAGGAGGAGGCCAAGCGACUGCGGCGCUCCGCCAAGACGCUCUGGGAGAAUUGCCAGCUCCUCGGCCUUUAAUUUGAUCGAUCUCUUUUCAUUUCAUUCACGCUCCAUCUCAUCUCGUCGUGUUUAACAGUUUGAUUUUGGAUCGUCGUAAUAUUACUAUUACCGUCCUGAAACAGUUGAUUACUGCAUCAAUCAUGCUAUUUACACUAGUAGCGCAUCCGGUGUUCAAUAAAAUUACUAUGUGUUUUCUAGUUGCAUUAGUUAUUAGUAGUAGUAGUACUGAUUUCUGCAUUUGGUUUAUUUGGUUCAUCAUCGUGAUCCAUUGACGAUGGCAUUAUUACGCACGAAGUAUGAUUAAUGUCGCUAAGCCCCAACAACACUAGGAUCUCACUCUCACACGUACUAGGUCUAUGUAUUGAGCUUGAAGGGAGAGGAACAAGAAAUUUGUAACAACUCAUUAACUCGGAAGCUUCCUCGGCCAAUUGUUGUCUGCCUCCGAUCCUUCACAUUCCCCAAGCUAAGUCUCCCUCUUUCUGGCACCUGGUGCUCGGAGUCGGAGAUGGAGGGGAUCGCGCGUUGAUGACAUCAAAUUCAAGGUCAAGAACAGACCUGCGCAAUUGAGCCCGACGGGUUUUCACCCAUGAGCCUUAAUUAGUGCACAAGGCUGAGCCAGAAAAAUUUUUCUCAGUCCUUCCUAGCCUGAAAUAUUUAAUUUAACUUUUUUACAUUGUAAACCAUGAGUACAGUCGCCAAGUCCUAGCCCGAUCUAAAGAAUUAGGCCAACUCGCCAAUAUAGGACAGUGGGAGGGAUUUUUUUUUUUCGGGCCCCAAACAACGGGGUUUUUCCGGCUUAAACGUAAAAUGCUCAGGUAAGUUAAGAAUAUCGCCAAACAUUAGGAUUGCACAGUGUUCGACGCUUAGUCCUCUACCGCCCUAGCAUCAUGUCCUCCUGCGUUAGCGACCACACACUCAUCUGUCAGACCACACCCGCUAAUAGGGGCAACGGGCUUAUAUAUUUACCAAGGGUGGAGAGAGACAAGAAAUUUAUAACAAUCUCAUUAACAUGGAAGCUUCCUUCACUCGAGAGUGGAUUUUCCACACGUAGCUUUGGCCGCCAGACCUAUCAUGGCCAUAGGAGGGGGCUUAAGACUGUGCUAGGCCAAUGAUGACCACAGAAGGAUGAAGGAAUGGUGGGGGUGGGGGAGGGGGGAGUCCCGCAAAUGGUGCCCUUGCCCCAACCCUGUCCGGACGCCUCCUCUGCUAACCACUCUAGCAACGUCACCGCCGCCUCCACCUUGUCGUUUCUCUCAUCCCCAACACCAGACCUACUCUUGCCUCUCAUGAUCCCUUUCUAAAAGCCCAUCAACGAUGAUGCAGAACAGAGGGAGAGGAAGAGAAGGCUGAGGGCAUGGUGGUGGCGGGCGAUGUGGCAGGAGCCAGGGGCGGUGGAGAUCGGGGCCGAUGACUAGGCGUUGUGGAGGCUAGCACGGUGCCAGAGCUAUGGCUGUCGGGGUGGGUGCGGCAUUGGCUUGGGAAACGAGGCCAUGAGCGAUGGCGGCGUCGUUGGGAGAGCAGAGAGAGAGAAGAGAUGCUUGAAAAUGUGUGCUACAAAGGUGAAGAAUGGCUGAUACGUGUGGUCCUGCUUUUCCCUUCCUUACCCAAUUUCUCUCUAUCUUCUUCCCCCAUCUCCAAGUCUUCCUCUUCCUUCCAAUCUAUAUCCAACACGAUGCUGGAGGCUCUCGGCUCAUGACAUUCUAGUACCAGAGUACAUGUUGCGGAUCAUGGAGUAGUUCUCUAAAAUCCCAUAGCAUACAACGUAUCAUUUGGUCGGCAAGAUUAUUCUUCUCGCAUCUCAUUAAUUAUUUCGUCAUUCAUCGUGGUUAGCCUAUUAUCAUCCUGGUGCGGGGGUGCAAUCAUCCAACCCUCACGGCCGGUAAUUUCUCUGCUAACUCGAACCGAUAAGAAAAUUGAUUCACCGAUAAAUAAUUUUUCUAUUCUUGUCACUUAUUUUUUAUUUAUUUGCAUUGUUGGUUUUGCUCCUUUAUAGGGGGAUUUCGUUUUCUAGUAGGAUUUACUUGGAAUUUGAAUAAUAUUACAUAGUCGAUGCCCAAACUGUAAUAUUUACUACUUGCAUAUAGGUGGGGACUGGAACGGCAAUUGAGUUUUUUUUCCUUCUUUUUCAUAAGAGAAGUUGGGGGCAAUGACUAGUAGGAUACGAAAGACAGAUCAUAUUCGUGGAAGCUUCCAAGGAGAGAAGCUGCAUGUAGGAAUUGAACGUGCGUCUAGAUGUGCAUGUAUAACAUAACAAAUCAACAUCAGCUAAAUUUCAACGAAGCGCGACAUGCAUGCAAUAUGUUGUGUGUAGUCCUGGUCCAAUCCUUAGGCAUGCAUAGUACGUACUGUCAAGGUGUAUAUAUAGCCGUAUGCGUGAAUCCACGCGUUUUAAGUACGUAUCAACGUAUGUAUAUAUGAUGCAUGACCGAGCAGCUAGCUAGUAUAGCCAUGUAAUGUCAUGGAAAUAAUGGGCCGACGAUAUAUAGGAUGACAAAAAGAGGGAGCGAGGAGUGGAACAGUAUAGCUCGCUAGCUACGACGACAAUCUAGAUGAUGUGGAAAUGUAGGGGUGGAAAAAAUGGCGAUCGAGACGGUGGUCUCUUUCAAGACAACAUGCAGGUCUCUCCCUUUUCAAAACCGGCGACUUGCAUGCAUUGCAAAAAAAGUAUCGGAGGAAUCGGAAGAAAGGUUGAUGAUGCUAUCAGAUCAUCUGUCAGUUGGGAAGAAUUGAAGGAGGACGAAGUCAAGAUGCAUGCAUGGUAGGGCGGCUAUUGCGUUUCACAAGCAGGUUUGUGCGCGUGCGCUUGUUUGACAAGUCCGUUCCCCGUCCCUUCCAAGAAAUUAAAUAUCGUCAUGCUAUAUAUGCAUGUCGAUCCAGUACGUUGUUGAUCCGAUCCAUGUACAUGCCGUGACGAGACCGUGCAGGCCGGCCAAUCAACUUUAUUAGGCUACUCCAUUGACCAAUGGAUUUGGAUUGAUCCCCAAGAAAAGCAAUUAUGUGUAACACUAGCUAGCUAGUAGUACGGAGAUCUGGACCCUAGUGCAAGUGAAGGAAGGAAUGAGAGAUCCACGACGACCCAUGACUUUGAAUUGAAAAGAAGACCAAAUUAAUUACUAAUAACCCAACAAUGCAAAACCAGCAGCAGCUAGCAGCUUCAUUUCCCAUUCCGGCGGGCUGCUGCCUCCAGUAUUUGCUUGGUUGCACCACCGGCGGCGUGCGAUCCUCGGCGGCUGGGCCCGCCGCGCCGGCUACUUUUUAACUUAAUUUCAACGCCUUGAAUUCUUCUCCAAGGUACUAGUAAAAAGGUUGAAUAAUCCGACCGGCCAAGAGCCGAGCCAAUUAACCCGGGAUGGGAUUGCCAUGCCGACUGCAUGCCUUGCUGUGCCUUCUCACCAGCGGCACUACCGCCGUACGUACACACUCACAUGAGGUCUGCUACUCAACCACUUGAUUUGAAAAAGGGUGACCUAACAUUUUAUUAUUUUAAUUAUAUAUGUCUGUCUAAAAGGAAAGGACAGCGGCGACCAUGACCAGACCACAUAUAUAGUGGAGGAUCCCCACUGAAUUUGAAUGUAGUACUAUAGUAGCAUUAAUUAGCAUGGUGUAUAGUAUGUGCACUAGUAGAACAUGCAAGUUGUUUGUGAAUAUACGCCGUCUCCCCUAUCUGCAUCUGCUGAUAACCUACCGUACCUACGUACGUAAUUAAGCACAUGCGUAUGUCCAUGCAUCAUGGAUCUACUACUACUCCCUCAACUUCGUCCCAAAAACAUGCCAUCCUAGAACUGAAGUUAGUCAAAUUAAUUCUAAUUCUAAUUAGAUUUAUAGAAAAUAGCAUCAACAUUUGUAUCUUUAAAUAGGUUUAUAAUAAAAUUACAUUUCAUUCUUUAUUUAAUGGUACUUAUUAUUACAUAUACAAAAUAUUAUUACAUUUUAUACAUUUAGCAAAAGUUAAGAUUGAUCGUCUCCUCAGAAAAUGAGAAUAAUACUCCCUACAUCCAUAAAAGAAUACAACUAUCUGAUUUGUAUCGGUUAAACUAGCUUAAUUUUAACCAAAUUUAUAGUGAAUAGAGUUAUUAUUUAUGUCUCUAAAUAAGUUUACUUAGAUGAUAUAUUCCUGAUUAAUUUAAUGAAACUUAUUUAGUAUCAUAAAGUUUGACUCCACAAAAAAUUGAAAAUAACACCUUUUUUGUGGAUGGAGUACAUAUACGUCCUAUCUUGCUAGUAAAUAAAUAUGUGACAUACGAUACGUCCUCGAAAAGAGUUUAGCUUAGCUUGCAAUAACCAAAAAUCAAUGCAUGGAAUCCAACGAAAAAUCCCGGUAUUGAUAUGAUGCAUGUGACAAUGCACUAAAUCACAUGCAUAUGCUCCUCCAAGGCAUUACUACUAUAUUUCAUCUACCUACAGUGUCACACUCUGAGAUGUACUACAAUGCAACUGUGCAAUUGAAAACCGCUUAACAACGCCUCUGUUUUCAGGAAGUUUCAUUUGGUACAGCAGUAGUUUACGCUGUCAACAACGCAUAGAGACGCCACUGGUUUGCAUAUGGCCACCUAUAUGUAUAUAUAAUAUAACAAAGUCAAGCAAGCAUCAUUUCCUUUUCAAAAAGUGUUUUUUUUUCUUUUCUUUCAGAAAGAUCGAUCGAAAACGGCUCAGAGUUUAGCUGAAACCGGUUGAUUUCAGUUUUUCAGGGGGCUUGUCUACCUCCCUCCUCCCUAAUAAUACUAUAACCUACCAGGUAGCUAGUAGCUUAUAAAUAGCAGCCCUCCCUUAUCAUCUCACCAUAUACAGCAUCGAUCACCAAAGGCUCCCUCAAACACUUCCCGCUGCUCCCUCCAACUGCAACUAGACCAGAUCGUCAACACGCAAAUUUAGCAAGAUGAAGAAGGCCACGUCACUCUCCGAGCUGGGCUUCGACGCCAACGGCGCCUCCGCGGGCUUCUUCCGCUCGGUGUCCGACGACGCCAUGGACGACUCCACGCCGACGUCGCACCACCGCCGGAGGCUGACCAAGGUGUCCGUCAUCGGCGCGGGCAACGUGGGCAUGGCCAUCGCGCAGACCAUCCUCACCCGUGACCUCGCCGACGAGAUCGCGCUGGUGGACGCGCUCCCGGACAAGCUCCGCGGGGAGAUGCUGGACCUGCAGCACGCGGCGGCGUUCCUCCCCCGCACGCGCCUCGUCUCCGACACCGACAUGUCCGUCACCAGGGGCUCCGACCUCGCCAUCGUCACCGCCGGCGCGCGGCAGAUCCCGGGGGAGACGAGGCUCAACCUCCUCCACCGCAACGUGGCGCUGUUCAGGAAGAUCGUGCCGGCGCUGGCGGAGCACUCACCGGACGCCAUCCUGCUAAUCGUCUCCAACCCCGUGGACGUGCUGACCUACGUGGCCUGGAAGCUGUCGGGUUUCCCCGUGAGCCGCGUGAUCGGGUCGGGAACGAACCUGGACUCGUCGAGGUUCCGGUUCCUCCUCGCCGAGCACCUGGACGUGAACGCGCAGGACGUGAACGCGUACAUGGUGGGCGAGCACGGCGACAGCUCGGUGGCGGUGUGGUCGACGGUGAGCGUGGCGGGGAUGCCGGUGCUCAAGUCGCUGCAGGAGAGCCACAGCAGCUUCGGCGAGGAGGCGCUGGAGGGCAUCCGCCGCGCCGUCGUCGACAGCGCCUACGAGGUGAUCGGGCUCAAGGGAUACACGUCGUGGGCCAUCGGCUACUCCGUCGCCAACCUCGUGUCGUCCCUGCUCCGCGACCAGCGACGCAUCCACCCGGUGUCCGUGCUCGCUUCCGGCUUCCACGGCAUCCCCGACGACCACGAGGUGUUCCUCAGCCUCCCCGCCAGGCUCGGACGAGCCGGCGUCCUCGGCGUCGCCGACAUGGACCUCACCGACGAGGAGACCAGGAGGCUACGCCGCUCCGCCAAGACGCUCUGGGAGAACACCCAGCUCCUCGGCCUCUAGGUCUAGGUUCUCGUCUGUUUCUGUAGCUGAUCAUCAUAUAUUUUGGGAGACGAAGGUAAAAGGAAGGAGUACACUCGUACUAGUUGAUUAUUAAUUUUUGUGCUGUAAAAUUAUGGAUGCAUGGAGCAAAGCAUUUGGUUCAUCGAUGAUCGUGCGAUGUAAUCAUUUGGUAGCUAGCUCUCAAUGCAAGUCUUGACACCAUUUGUUGUCUUAUGAAUCUGUAUAUGCAUUGCCUACCUUGUAAACUUGAUACAAUCAUAUGGAACAGUUUUAAUAAAGUUUGCUGCUACAAUGGUAUAUAUAUAUAUAUAUAUAUAGUUCCUCACUGAUGUGGUCAUGAUUUGAAUUUUUUGGAACCUCCUGCAUUCCGUGUUUUGGUGACUCGAUCCUCCAUCCAAAAGCUCGGCGCGGUGAAGUUGAAUGCUGCAUGUCUGUCCGCUGUCGUUUCAACGUUCAACCAGUGGGAAAAUCCCUAAUUUUCUUGUGCUUUUUUAUGAAGAGAAAGGAAAAGAAAAAGAAAAAUGGACGGGCCUCUGCAACUCGGCCUAGGCCACUGGCCAGGGCUUUGAGAAGAGCUCAGAUAUCUGGUCCGGGCUAUGCCUGCAGUUGGAGAGGAGAGGAGGCCCGUAUACGCAUGCAUGUUGAAUUAGGCCUGGACUGAAAAGUGUGUGGGGGGAUGGAGGCCCAUCCGGCCCGUACAUGCAGGCCGGGGCUGAAAAGUUGGAAUGGAGGCCCACCGUCUAAGGGCAUGUACAACGGGUCUUUUGGCCCCGUCUCCGUGAUGACAUAUUUAUUUGUGAAAAGAACCCUGCCAAUGCCAAGAGACGGAGCCGUCGUCGUCUCACGAGACGACGAGGAGAGCUCGUGGCCCGAGGUCGAGUCGCCAGCUCCAGCACCGUUGUAUGGUCGCCUCGCCGGCCCCUUGGUCUCGCGGAUCCCAUGCGCGCACAAGGUUCAGUUUGGGUGCGCCCCAAACUGUCGAGUGGCAAAGCCUCGUCCGCAUCUAGGAAGAGCAAGGGUGCCUCACCGGCGGCGGCGGCGGCGCCUCGUAUCCUUCCUCCGCCCAACCGUCGCGAGCUGCACCGUAGGCUCCGCCCUGGCCGCCGCGAGACGUGCGGGCCAGCUCCGCCGCGCCGUAGGUUGCGCAUGGGCGAGCUCUGCCCUGGCCACCAUGAGAGCUGUGAGCUGAAGCUUGCUAGUUAAUUUUCUGCUGCUUUUUUCAUCAAUGGCUGCACAAACAGGACGAUGAGGACGAGCCGAAGAGGAGGAGGCGGAGGUGGAGGCGGAGAGCCCGGUCGCCAUCGAGCAGCAUUUUCAGGUUGGACUCAGGAUACUAUUUUUUUUCUGUCCCUUUUUUUUGCGUCAGGAUGUCAUCUCGAACAAGGAUAACUGGAUAAGCACAUAUAGCUCAAUAUAUAGUAUGUCGUCACUCCAAUUAUUCCACAUAAUUAUCCACAAAGUAGGAUAGUAUCCAGGAACUGUGAAUCCUCUGAAUUUUCAGGUGUCUGUUACCUGAAUGUGAACUCAUAUCUGAAUGUUAAUGUGCAUUCAGUUCAGUAUCUGAAUAUUCAGCUGAACUGGAUGUGGAUUUCACUCAGAUUCUGCAGCCUGUUAAUCUUCAACUGGCUCCAAUGUUGCAGUUUUCAAACUUCAGGUUCUGCAGCUUUGUAUGAUGGACGAUGGAGUGGAAGCUCCUAGUAGCUACCUGAUCAAUUGAAAAAGAACUUGUACUGUAUUUCCUCCUAGCUGUUUGCAUUCGAUGAGAAUCUGAUGCUAGUUCGAAUGUACAUGUACCCUCGUGUUGAAUAUGUGCUUUCGUGUUGCCUGCAUGAACAUGUUCCUGAUCUGAACAUGCUGCUUGUAUUGUGAGUUCAGUCUUGUUUAAACCACGACAAGAGUUGUGUUUCAGCACUAAUUUAUGGAAAACUGAAUGACAGUUGAACUAAUCUGUUGGUGGAAUGAUUUUGUUGUGGUUUAAACAAAUAGCAACACAACGGUAUAUAAAAUAAAUAUUUAUGAAUGAUCUUUGGCUACAUGCAAAGCAUUAAACAGUUUGCAGACAACCUCAUGUCUAUGGAUUGUAUGAUCUGUCUCUAUACUUGUCUAUAUAUUAGAUUCGAGGCUCUUAAAGGCCGUCUAUGGGUUGUACAUGCCCUAAUUGGCUCUGCUUUCUCUUCUUCUUCUUCAACACAGGAGCGUGAACGUGACGGCCUCUCAUCUCAUGACCGAACGCUCGGCAAUGGCCGCCGGUGGGAAGGUAGACGUGCGCCCCUGUCUGCCACUCUGCUUGGCUAGUCUCACAAACACGUGAGCCGCAGCAGGAAUGGGACCAGCAAAGCAUGCCACUCAUCACAUGGCUUGCCAUCUCGAAUCCCGAUGUGCAAAAGCAUAGCAUUGCAUAGGGAUUCCCCCACAUUCUCUGUUCAUCUACUCUCUGCUUUUGGCCUUUGGAGGAGGCAAGUCAAACCAGGCUGCGUGGCCGUGUCGGAUCUCUUGUUCGCGGCGCCGUGUCGGAUCUCUUUCCGUUCGUCGUCUUCAUCAUCAUGGGGAGGUCAUGGACAUGGAGACCACCCAUCCCCUUCGUCGCGUUCCCGUUUUACCCCGUCCACUCGUCGUGUGAAAGUGAAACGGCCGAGGGGCACAGCAGUCACUUGUCUUCGCUUCUCCCUCCGAGCACUCCUCCUCCUCCUCCUCAAUUCCCUGGGAGUCGCCAUCAUCACUUCUCCCUUGGAUUGGAUGGCAAUUCGCAUCUCCUAGCCGCCGCGCCUCCUCCACUCCUCUUUCAGUCCCAAGUCCCAACUCCCCUACCCCAUCCACCGCCACCAUGAGCCGCGAUCGCUACUUCCACCGCCUCCUCGACGUCGACGACGACCCUUUCUUCCCAUCCUUCCCCUUCCCUACCACCUCUUCAUGCCCCUACAUCUCCGCCUCCGCACCUCACCACCGCUUCCUCCUCGACGACCAGCCCUUCUACCCCACCUCCUGCCCGCUCGGCUUCACCUCCCCUACCCCCUCCCUCAUCGACACCUUCGACCUCGAUCUCCUCCUCCCGCCCCACGCCGCCGUCGCCACGCCCCGUUGCCCGGCCUUCGACUUCGACCCGUUCCUCCUCGACGCGCUCGGCCACCGCGUGUCCGCCCUCGAACGCGCGCUCGCCCUCACCCCCGCCCCCGCCCCCGCCCCGCCCCGCCGCAAGUACACCUACGCCGCCGAGGCCCACGGCAGGAAGGUCAAGUGGACCGCCGAGGACCGGCCCUCCGGCGGCAGGAACCUCAAGUGGGAGGCCGAGCUCAGGACGCCCCACCACGACGGAUUCGACCGCAAGUGGAAGUGGGAGUCCAAGGCGUCCGCCGCCGGCGCUGCCACCAAGGUCAAGUGGGAAAAGGAGAUCAAGGGCAAGGGCUUCCUCGAGCCUUGGUCCAACUCUUACUCCGUCGAGGAGACCUACGGUGACGAUGACCAUGAUGACGACAAGGAGAAGAAGCCUACUGAUGUUAAUGUUAAGAGGAAAGUCAAGGAGGACAAGCAGCAGCACAAGAAGGGCAAUGUGGAGAUCGUCGAGAUUGAGGAUAACACUGCCGGAUGCGUCGCCAUCAGAAAGGUCAGAUCUUUCUUUCUGCUCUGUUCACUAUUACUCCAUACUGCUUGGUAGGGACAUACAUAGACAAUCAUAAUUUGGUCAAAUGUUGUGCACAAAAGGUUCCAAUUCAAAUUUUAGGUGCUCAGUUCCAAUCUGCUAGGUUUCGAGCUCGGUUAGAUCUGUGGGAAAUGUGGCGUGCCAUUUCCAAUCUUUGUAGCUUCACUUGCUAACCCGCCCGUCCAUGGAAAUCUUGGAUUUUGGGUGGUGAGGUGCGGUUAGUUAGUGUUAUUGAGGUGGCAAUGGCCUUUUGACACCGUCUUCAACAUUGCAUUCUUUCUUAAGUGCAAGGCUCAUAGUGGGACUGAACUUGUUGGCACCUGUACUGUGUACUGACACCAUGCUCUUCUGCCCAGGCUUUUGAAAUGAACCACUGCAAGGGCAAGAGGAAGGAACUUUCCCCACAAGAUGCCGCAUUGCUCAUCCAGAUGAACUACAGAGCGCACCUGGCCCAUCGCUCCCAGGUGCUCCGUUGCCUUCGCGACCUCGCUGUUGCAAAAGCCAAGCUCAAGGAGAUUAGGUCCUUCUUCUACAACAUCUCAUACCGCCGCCGCGUUGCACAUGACACUGAAGAGCGCCAGAGGUUUGCUGAGAAGAUCAUUGUCCUGCUACUGACAGUUGAUGCCCUUGAGGUAAAUUCUCGAUCUGUUCCAUGCUACUUCGUGAUUCAGCAAAUGACAACUGCUGUACUGUUUAUUGUGAUUUAUGUUUUUUCACACAAGAAUCUGUCAGCGCUCAGCACUAUGCAAUGUUGUUUAGAGUUCUAGAAAUUACCUUGUUAGUUGUUACUGAUGCCAUCCCGGACAUUAGAGAUGUGUUGCUAUCUUCAGCAACUGUCCUAGUUUAUGCACGAUCUGUGCUGGUGGUGAGCGCGGUCACCAUGCGCUGGUCCAAGCAGUUCCUGAGUCGAGCUCAUGUUCUCUAUCCUCAACAAUGUGCUAUGACUGUCUUCGUCAGGCAUGAAUAAUUAGUUCCCAGAAUUAAAUUUGCUCUCCUUAGUAUCCCAUGGUGAUCUAUUUAGGAGGAUUGUUGGUAAGAGUUUUAAGUGUUAUGGCGUUUAGUUGCGACUGUGUUACCCUUUCUUUUUCACUGCAUCGGUUUGCCUAUAAUGUCAAGAAUUUGUUAUUUGACCCACCUCACAAUUCCAUGCACCUUCAACUAAGCUGUCGAUAUAUGUGGUCGAUCGCAAUCUAAGAACACAACUGCAAAGAAUCUCCUAUUUUUAUGGACUGUGUAACUGAAACUACGGCACUCUCUGUGGGCUUGAAACUCUUUAAUGAUCCCUUGUUGAAUAUCAUGUCCCUCUGCUCUGGUGUUGAUCCAAAUAAAUAAAUUGCAAAAACAACAAUUUGAUGAGACAAUAACCUUAUGGCUCCGUUUCUUUUGUCAAUGCCUUCUGUUGUACUUAACAGGGACCAGACUACAUGGUCCGCAAUGCAAAGAGAUCCAUGCUUGAGGAACUUGAGGGGAUGCUGGAGAUCGUGGACCCUCAGCCACCAGGGAAGCCGAGGACGCUUAGCCGCAGGAAGUUUGAUCUCCCAGAAGGCGGAGCCAUCCCAAAGGAGAUGAGGGAUGGUGUUAAGAAUGUUGUCAGAAUUGUGGAGGAAGGCAAGUGAGGUGCAUCAGUAAUGACAUGCUUGUAGUUGUAAGUCAUGCGGACUAGAGUUUGUGCUGCUGCUGAGGAUUCCCCUGUUCAGAUGUUUGCUAGCUGAACUUUGUGAUGUUGUAUUCCUAGAAUGUUGUUCCUCGUAAUGUCGUCAUAGCAGUAUGAUCCAUGUUAUGUUUGGACUAGGUAUUUUUCUUGUUCCCAGAUGCCCCAGACGUGUGUGUUUGUAAACUCAUUCAUCACCCUUCAUCCAUCAUGGGUGGUGAAACUUUAAUAAAUUAGUAUCUGUUGAUCAAUGUGGUAUGGUGCCUGUGAGCUGCUGCUUUUGCUAAUAUUUGGGUGUCCCAUAUCUUAAUUCUGGCAUCAUUGGAUUUGGACGAAGUAUUUUCUGUACUAAACAGUUUUUUUUUUCAGCAAUGCUGUACUAAAAACAGAUGCAAUGAAGUCUUAAAAAGAACAUGUCAAUCUGCGUGUGGGCUGGGUUUAUGAGGCCGCCGCCGUUGUUUAAUCGGCUGAUAGCCCCAUUGGGCCUGGCCCAGUGUCAUUAGUAAAUUGGGGCUGGUGGAAGCCGAAAAGAGUUGGGCCUAUUCUACUUGCUCUUCAAAAUAAAAAGUGACUAAUCUAAUUCAGGUAGGUAGGUUCUCUUUGCCUCUGGGUUUGAGGGGACAAAAAUGUAAAUCCAUGGUUAUAUAUGUGCAUGUGCAUAUACAAAACUUGGUUAAAUCCCAACAGAGGGCUUGUUUUCUGGUGAGUGAAGUGAGUUAGUUUCCUACGCCUCAAGAUCUAAAAUGCAGAAAUGGUGCUUCCAAUUACAGACCUGCAGAAAUGGCUUGGUUGAAAGAACAUGCAUGUAUGUUUGUGGACAGAAAGAACUGUCGAGAUCCGGCACCUGUGCACAGGCCACAGGUGCUGUGACUCACAGACAGGGAUGCAAUGUUUUAUUUCAUCCACCAGCUAGUUUUUUGUAUUUGUAUUUGGCUCUCUUGUGAUGCUCAUUGCCUGCUCUGGCUCCAUUCAUGUGCCGUGUUGUGUUGAUUGAUGCUAUACAUACAGAGCACAGUGUAGAGAGCCUAGCUGGUGCUGUUGUUUUCUUGUGCAAAUGAUUGCCUGAAUAAAAUAUAGUAAUAAUGUUGGGUUUGCACUCAAGAUCGGUAGCAGGAAGGAAUGCUAGUUUAAGCAAGUGAAUUAUUGGCGGGGGCAAGGGCCAGAGGGUCAAUCAAUCCCAUUAUUUGAGACGGCUCAUCCGAGAAUUAUUGCCGGUUAGGUGCUUAAACAAAUGUAAUUAUUGGAGAUCACAGUCAUGGCUCCCCUGACCUGACCUGACUCCUGAACAUUGAUGAGAGAACAAUACAAUGACACGUAAGCAAUGCAAGGUGUCAAAGAGAAGGGAAAUCCAGUCAUCAGUGAUCUAAUGACACGUACCUACGACGCAUCUGAACAUGUAACUCUGAAAAGCAGGGUCGUUGAACUGAAGUGUAUGAGCUGGCAGGUCAUGUCGGGCAAUGGUGCAUUGCCAAGCAGGCAAGGCAAGGGCAAUACUCCUAUAUGGCGAGAAGGAACACGAGGAAUCGGAUUGGAUUCUGUUCUGCCUGCAACUGCAAUUUUUCUUCUUCGGUUCCUAACUGGAGGAGGGGACCGGCACCAUGUAAUCCUCCUCCUACACUACACCAAAUUAUUGGAGGGGCCCGGAUCGGACGCAUUGUCUCGUCUGUCGCUUUUGCCAUUGCUGACAUGGCAACAAUAAUGCAUUGUCAUGCGCCCAUGCCGAGUUGGAGGUGAGAGAGCUCUCUCUCUCUCUCUCUCUCCAUCGCUGGCCAUGGCCUCAAGUGAAGAUGAGUUGUCCAGCGCAUGUGGGUCACUGCUUCUGUCAGUCAGUGCUUCAUCAGUGUUCUGCUCCUUCCUUGAACUAAUCAGCACUACUUUUUAAACGUGAAAUAGUGUUUUUCUCACACGUUAAUGUCUGGUUAAUCGGUCAAUGUCAAAGAGUCUAGCUUAGCAUGUGAAAUGUAUGUGUCUGAAUCAGAAUCAGGGAUAGCAUGUGAAAUGUAUGUGUCUGAAUCAGAAUCAGGGAUGCAUGGUUACUUGUUCCACCAGACCACCAGCUCGUCCGAAAAUAGAGAGAAAUAAAAAUAGAUAAAAGAUGUAGUAGGUUAGUAGAUACUAGAGGGAGGCUAUUUUUUUCAAGGCCAUGCUGCAGUGGUCGAUCCAUAUCCAUCACAGUCACAGGAAAGGUAUAGCCGGCCUGAAUUUUUCUGUUUGUUUGCAUUGUGACAGUUAAUUUAAUAUAUAAUAUAUCCUCAAGUGUGAGGCUGAAAAUUAAAACUCGGAUUACCAGUAUUGUUAUUAUAUUCAGCUGAAAUCAUGAUCCACGUGGAGUCUGCAGACGCCAAGAGCUAGUCGAACCAUGCUUCUUCGAUGCACCAACACCACAAGACGAAUGAAAAAGCGGUCAAAAGGACGAAGAUGACAAGCCAACAAGCAGGAGUUGGCAUUAUUGUUAUGAUCCACGUGGCGUGGAUUGCGAAAUCGCCACUCGCCAGCAUAAUUGGAGGAGGAGACGCUGAUCGCCCGAUGUUGACGUCAUUAUUCGUAUUCGUUCUAGAUAGAUAGAUAGAUAGAUGCAUGUAUGGGUGGACCGCAAUGUUACUAUUGUUGUCUGUUCAUCUAACUAGCUAUAUUUUCUGCCAUAGAAAUUCUAGUGCAAGUAGCUGGACAAUAAUAAAACACUAGAGCCAUGUUUAGUUCCGAAAAGUGAAAACUUUUCGGUACUGUAGCACUUUCGUUUGUUUGUGACAAAUAUUAUCCAAUCAUAGACUAACUAGGAUCAAAAGAUUCGUUUCGUGAUUUACAGCUAAACUGUGUAAUUAGUUUUUGUUUUCGUCUAUAUUUAAUGUUUCAUGCAUGUACCACAAGAUUCGAUGUGACGGGAAAUCUUGAAAAAAAUUUUGGUUUUCAGAGUGAACUAAACAAGGCCUAGUUUUUUUAAAUUUUUUGUUAUACUUAUUAUUAUCAGUGUUGUGACUAAAAACGAGCUGAACGAAGUUUGUCUUCACCGGCCGAUUCCUAAGAAUUGCGUACUUGAUGAUCAUCAUAAUAUUAAUUGAUAAGCUGACCCAUAUAAAUUGCUGUUAUCACGUACGGUACUUCCGACUAAAUAAAGAACACUUUACGUAAAGGGCAGUGAUCAUUCACUCAAAAUCUUUAUUUUUUACACCUCCGGCCUAUAUAUGUUUUUCAACGCGUGCCGCCGUCCCCCUGCACCUAAUGAAGGAAAAAAAAUAUAAUAAAUGUACUAUAGGAAGUGGCACGUCAGCGGUUGAAAAAAUGCACACAGCAGGUAGAACUAGCAUGUGAUGGAAUAAUGGAAUGGGGAAGUGACACUGCAAGCAAGCGUUUGUGACCACAGUUGCUGCAUUAUUGUCAGCGUCAGCAUCAUGAAUACAGUACGAUAAUAUUGCCAUCAAUGACCUGGAGUCGAGUGGCUUUAAUAUUGCAGACGUGUCUUUAAUUUGCCGGAGUAGCAACACAGAAACGUGGGAUUGGAGAUGAAGAGGCCCGAUGUGCACUGACGUGGCAGCCACCGGCCGGACACUUGGAAAGAGGGGCAAGGGCAACCACCAGUUGGCCCAUGUCCAAGACCGUAUGCAUCACUACAGCAAGUGCCCACGUCACAGAAAUUAGGAGGAGGUGGGCGGUGCAGCCGACGCUGAGGUUGCCACGGAUAGGACAAUGGAGGGGGGCAAAUGUUGGCUGGAUAGCUAGUGGCAAAGGUCACAACAAGGUUGUGGCAAAGCCGUGACUGUGUAGGAGACAGUGCAAUUUGGGUUUAGGGUUUUGGAUUUUAAAGAGUCGUUGAGGCCUUCAUGGGCGGUGGCCUUGGAAAGGCAGAGGGUUGACGAGUGGUGCGGACGCCGCCGUGCGGGCGGUGCAUGACAGCCAAAUAGGUGAUGCUGGUGACGAGGGUGAGGAGUCGCUAGCAAGGUAACCAAUUAGCGUAAGGGAGCUCAAUAGGGGUCGAUGGUGGGAGAAGAUGUGGUCGUGGAGGCGGAGAUUGGUGUGGGGAGAGAUGAGGAAGACGAUUGGUUUAAAGUUGUGCGUUGAUAAUCCCCCUAUGCAUGUGCUAGUGAAGAUAGGGCAAGUAUGACUGUCACCAGACUAGGUGAUGCUUCAUCUAUCAAUAUAGUGUCCACACUUUUGUAGAUUUUGGUACUUAUCAAAGGCCAAAAGCACUAAUUGCAUGCAACUUAUCUUUCUCAAUCAGUUCCAAUCCAAAAACGAUGAGAUAGCUCUAUGCUUACCAAGUCAUAAAAACUUUUACGAGUUAUACAACUGAUAGUAACUUUUAAGAUGCAUACAAUGGGUUUUUAGGAAUGAAAUGAUGUCUUUGAUCACUAAUUGUGAUUCUGAAGGACAAUUAAAUUGGACAUGUACUUCGGUAUAUUGACACCAAAGUGAGUAAUGUAAAUACUGGUGUGUGUGUGUGUGUGUUUUAAAAAAAAAUCUAAGAUAGUUUAGCUUGAGAUAAAACUAGAAUGUUUUUUUUUUAACUAAGCGUUGGUAUACUAGUUGUGCGCCUCUUAUGUCUUAUGGAGCUAUAAGAGCACUCACAAUGCAGAAACCACGUAGAAAAUCUUGCACUGGGAAUGAUGAUUUAUUGGUAUGUUGUCCUAUGCUAUAGAAAUUGUUAAUAGUUUCAUGUAUUGGGAGUGACCUAAUUGGAUCACAAGAUGUAAUCUCAACAGUAGUAUAUAUAGUAGCCCAUCGACACAUGUUUUUUUUUCGAGAUCGUGUGCUUUAGCACGUUUUUCAUUAAUCAGAAUAAAGGACUUUGCUACAUUUAGUGUGAAGUUAUGGUAAUUCAAAGAUUAACGAAACCCUACACCACACUCGCACGUGGUUAUAAUUACAUGAAAACUAUUGAGCGAGAGAGGUGCUGGUGGCGAGAGAUUAAUUGGCCUCCUCGUCUAGCCCGAUCAUAUCCAAGUUCAUAGUGAUCGAGUCAAACUGUCCAGCCAAAAGAAGCUGCAACGCCUCAUAGGCGGAGUCUGACAGCGGUGCCCUGAAGGUAGUCUUGUAAUGUGUGAGUCGAUAUUGGUUGAUGAUGCCACUAUUCCUAUUCAUAAUUUCUGUAUGAGGACACACUGAGCCUGUUUAGUCUUCCUUACUCGGCUUGACAGCAAUGCGCUCAUUAAGGCCUCGUUCGGCACCACCGUAUUGGUGUCAGACCGAUAUCUGAUUCAGGCCAGGAUCGAGUGGAUCCUGGUGAGUCACUAGAACCCGCGCUUCCUCCGUUUUCUCUCCAGGAAUUAAACCGGUUGUCUCAAAUGCAGCGUUCGGUUCAGCCGGCCAGGAAUAAAAUAAGGAUACAGUAAAACACCCAGCCGAGGUUCAUAACAUGUGCAAUAGAUAAGCACAAUAUGACUUUGAUAUUCAAAACUAACACCUGACACUUAAUAACAAUUUCUGCACCAACAAAGUUAUUAUCAUAGGAAACAAUAAUUGAUAAUUUUUUUUUAGAAUUGACUUCCAUCCAAGGACAAUUGAUAAAAACCUUGUCAAAAUCUCAGCUGACUUUAGCCUUACAUUUGCAAACUGUCAAGAUGGUAAAAGCAAAAUUUUUCCUGGCUACUUGCACGGCAUGAUCACCGGCUCAAAGGCGCACACAUGUGCAUGACAACUCAUCUUUUUCCAAAAAAUGUCCACGGUCACUCAGACUCAAAGUGCUAAUAUCAUGUUUAAACUUGAAAUGCCUUCCUAGAUCCAAAAUAUAAAUUACAAAAAUACCCAAAGGCAACAUCAACCAGAUCAAAACUCCAUUAAAUGCAAAAAUCAAGAAAGAACGCAAUCUAGCCUUCCAAUACUCCACUUAAUCGUAUGAAGCAAAACAACAAGCUCCCAGCAAUAUCUUUCAAGAACUGUCAAAGCCAUGUGCCUGCAGAAACCAAAUGUAUUAACUUAAUUGACCAAAUGACUUAUAGGAUAGAUGUUUUGCAAAUAGAGUAGUAAUUUAGUAAAACUCAUCUAUUUUACUUGUGCUGCUGACUGACUAUUUUUAGCUAAAUAUAAGAACAAGUAUUGGUCUUAGCACAAGUGAAGUCUUUAUUUAUGACAGGAGCAUAUCUCAGCUUUCAAUCUUACUAUGGAAGGACAGCAUAAUUGGCUAAAAACAAACAUAUCUCUGGCUAGAAAUACAUCUCUACAGUCCAAAUCCUCUUACUAGCAACUCAACUAUCAAAAUAUUCUCAUCUCUAAGGGUUGAACAGGGCUAGAAAGUAGUACUGUCCUUAAUUUGUGACAACAUGUAUAGAAGAAACCCAAUUUCUCCUCCAUAGUGAUCCUAGUAUCAACAAGAAGGAAAACAUGAAGUUUUUAGCAAUUAAGUAGACUGACCUGUUAGACCAUCGCACUUUUAAGCCAAACCAAAGUUGCUUCUUGAUCUAGUUCACACCCACUUAGGAACGCCUCUCUAUUCUCUUUGCUUUUGAUGAAAACAGCAAAUGCUUUUGCUUUUUCUUCCUUUGUCACUUCCAUCGUGCUCAGCACAGAUAUACACCUUUUGAUAGAGAAGUCAUUAUCUUGAGCAACUUCUUUUUCUUUGGCUAGAUCCUCCUUUUCUUUGGCUAGCUCUGCAGACUCAUCCUGUACUUGCUUAGUCCGCAUGUCUAGGUAUCUCCCCAUCAUUUCUUCAAUCCUUUCACCCUUGUUCUUAGGCCUCUUCAUUUGCUUCUCAUGUUUUUUGCUUGAUGUAGUAGUAGUAGUUCUUCGCUGCCCGCUUCUUUCAACAUCUAUGAUCUCAUUUUUCUCCCCAUCAUUUCUUUCAUCAGCAGCCUCACUUGUUUGCAUCUCAGUGACUAAAUCAUCGUCAUCUAGUAGCUCAUGGACCUCAUUGUUGUCCAAGUCAUCUACAUCAUGAAUUUGUCGAAGUGGUGCUUCCUCUUGUGGUGGCUCAAGGGAAUUGAUAUUGUACGUACCUUCAGCCAAAUGACCUACACGAUAACUUUUAGGUUAGUUCAUCAAGCUAUAUUUUUUAAUUCAGGCAAUCUUAUCAUCUAGGUGUCUCAAAUUAGCAAGAUACUCUGGUAACUUAAUUCUACAUCAUGACAGCACAAAUAAGAACAUGGAUGUAGAGUUGUUGUUUUAGACAAGUCAAGUGAAUCACAUGAUAACAUAGAGCAGCAAGAUAUAAACAAAUAUAGAAAGUGAACCUACCAUCAUAAAGCUCUCCCAAAGCAUCAAAUAAUGGAAAUCUUGCCUUACUGUUGCGGAAUUUCUUGAUUUUAGGGAAUGUCUGCACAUUCAAAGAGAACCAUUGAUCAAAUAUGAGGUUAUCACUAUGAGGAUAUCCAUAGUAUUACUUUAAGAAAUCAACAUACCACUUCGAGGUUAGCCCACAGAGCUGGUGUUCCUUCAAUCACAUUCCUAUCUUCAUUCCAGGUGGCCCCACUCUGCUGCCUUGCCUCUUUUAGCAUCCUAUAGUCUCUCUUUAGUUGCACUUCUUUGUCUUGAAUCUGACUCUUUGUGUAGUUGACAUACUUGUUCCUCAGAUGGAACUCCUUCACCAUCUUAUUCCACCCUUCUGAGCUCCAACCAUUGUCACCUCUGUAGCCACUAUCUUUAUACUCGUGGAGAAUGUCUACCAGGGACUUCUCAAGGGCCGGAUUCCACUCUGCUCUUUGCUUUACUACUACAUAAACAAUGGUCAGACAUCAGGUUACCAACAAUCAGCAAAUAGAAAUAACAGUUUACAGCAAAGAAACAACAAAUAUCAGUUUAAAGGUUACAUGUUUACUAAAACUGCUAUAAUAGCAGAUGGUGGAAUAAACUAUUAUUUCAAGAAAUUUCUUUUAGUAGCAAAUAACAGUAGAGAAAUAACAGAGAAUUAAACACCAUACCUCUCGGAGAACCUCCAGCCUUCUUUGCCUUACUGCAUUUAGGAGAAGCCUUUUUCUUAAUGCCACUUGGGUUUGCUAGGAACUUGUGCAACUUUGGUGAUGCCCUUGCAAUCAUAUUGACCUUCGGGGAGCCCUUUGCAACCAUCGCUGUCAAAUAUGACACAAGCCUAUUCACUUAUUACAAGCUUAUUACUUAUUACAAGCCAAGCUUAUUCAUGACAAAAGCUUAUUACAAUCUAUUUAAAGACUAAUUUAAAUACUAAAAAGAAGUCUCUACUUAAUUACAUAACUUAUUAGAACCUAUUCAAAGACUAAUGUAAAUGUUGCUGGUACUGAACCCACAUUUCUUGGGCAAUGGUGUCUCUUAAAGUGUUGCCUUGUACUGAACCCACAUUUAGGUCAUCCAUUCAUCACCACUUGGUAAAACAACAUAGGUACUUGGAGGGAUAUUAUCUGGCUGAUGAUCUAACCAUUCCUCAUCUCCAUGAAGUAAUCGGAUCAGAUUAUGGAUGAUGGCAGCAGCUAUAGGUAUCUUUACUUGAUUUUCCAACAUAUGGAAUGUGGCAACUUUCAGAAUGGGGAAGCGCUUCUUAAGCACCCCCAAAGCCCUUUCCACAUGGUUCCUCAACAGUGCGUGGCGGUGGUUGAAGAGCUCCAUUGGGUUCUGCGGCCUCCGACGUCCAGACCCAAAUUCUUUCAAAUGGUAUCGAACUCCUCUAUAUGGAGCAAGGAAAGAUGGAGUAUUUGCAUACCCUCCAUCAACUAGAUAGAAUUUUCCUGGAGGUACUUGGAAGCCCUUGCUCAUAGCUGAUCGUAGCACUCUAGAAUCUGUAGCUGAUCCCUCCCAUCCACUAGAAAUGAAAGUGAUGUUGAGAUCAAAAUCACAUGCCACCAUCACAUUAAUGCUUAGUGUGCCCUUCCUAUUUCUAAAAGGAGAAGCUUUCUCAGAGGCUAUGGAAAUAGGAAUAUGAGUUCCAUCAAUGGCACCUAGACAAUUCUUGAAAAAUGGAUAGAAUCUAGGAUUGUCUUGGAUUUUUUGAUGCACUUGAUUAGGAUCAGGAGCUUGAAGGAAACGGCGAGAGAGUGUAGGAAUGACAACCUUGAAGAAGUGGUUGAUGUGAUGAUGGAAGGUAUCAUUGCUGUGCCCAAAGAACACUUGAAGAUCCUCAUACGAGGCAUUGUGACUUAACAUAUAUAGGAAGAAACCUAACUUCUCCUCCACUGUGAUCCUAGUAUCAACAACAAGCCUUUUCCUUCUAAGGUAAGUUGCCAAAUCUCUAAAGAUGUAUGGUUCCAUCCUAAAUGCAACUUGACAGUUCUUGACAUGUCCCUCGAGGAGUCUACGAACUUUAACCUCGCCUGUUUCUUCCGAAGUAUGGCGUUUCCUCCUUUCUCCCCCUCUAACAGAACUCAUAAGAUAUAAGGCAGGAAAAAUAAAUAGCAUCAUGUCAUCAUCUUCCUCCUCCCUCCUCUUUCUAAUGCGAUCUCGCAGUGAUAGACUCAUUGUAGAACUGAAGCAUAUAAUUUUAUAGUCAUAAAGAAGCUAAAUAUUAUUAACCAUGUCGUAUAGAAGAUAAAUAUUAAGGAGUACCUUCUGGAGUUGGUACUGGAUCCCAAGAAGGCGGAGGUUCACCUUCCCCAACUCUAAAUGGUGGAGGAGAGAUCUACAAAUGACAAGAAACAAUUUUUGAGUCAAAUAAAUUCUGAGCCAAAUAACAAGAAACCAACGCUGAAAUAGCUGAUAAUUGAAGCGACGUGCUAAGCCAAGUUGAAAUAGCUGAUAAUUGAAGCGACGCUGCAGGGAGCUGCGCCAUGCUUCUCUACAAGAAACCAACGCUGAAAUUGCUGACAAUAUUACAAUCACAUAGGAGUAUAGAACAGUAAAACAUGGUUAAUAAUAUUAGUACUGCAACUAGUAUUUGACACAGCAAGGCCACCUUCGCUCCUCUCUUAAUUAUUUGACGCCGCCACGGCUAGUAUUUGACAACCACGGCGCCGUCUCCUCUUCUGUAUCCACUUCCUCCUACGCGCUCGCAGCCUCUGCCGCCUUCCCCCGGGUCCGAGCUGCGUUCGCCGUCGGCGCAGUCACGUCGGCCGCCGUCACUCCAGUUCUUGACGGUAAAUUAAGCAGCUACCUCUUCGCUUCCUUUUUUGUUUGAGGUUUUUUCUUUCUGGCACAUGUCAAGAGCAAUGGCUACUGUUUUCCGCGCAAUAAGGGAGAAAAGGCAGUGGCGACUAGUAUUACAACGGCACUUGGGAAAUUCGUUCGAGUUCAAUUGGGGAUGUUGUAUAAAAUGGUCAAGUAAGGAAUUUGUCGCUGAAAUGGACAGCAUUGAUCUUUUUUGUGACAAAAAAAAGUCAAAUUAUCCUUUAUCAACAUCAGAACAAGAUUAAAGUAUUAAAGAACCAUCCUACUGAGUAACAUCACACAGUAUCAAAAGUUCAAAAUUGUAAUAAGGAAGAUGGCUCAUCACACAGAAUAAGAAGAUGCAGAAAGGGAACUAAAAGGUUCUACCCAAAAUGGUUCAAAAUUCGUGCUCUAAUCUGAAUUUUCUCUCUAGGCAAAGGUUUUUCUCUGAAACUUAUCUCGAAACAAAGGUCUGAAGAUCCAUUUUUUUUCCCCAGAAACUGACUAGCGUCCAUUCACUUCCUUCCAUAACUA
This 52171-nucleotide long non-coding RNA is filed under the name Sorghum bicolor (sorghum). Its description in RNAcentral is "long non-coding RNA (SBIC_LNC005888)". The record is from RNAcentral. Lineage: Eukaryota; Viridiplantae; Streptophyta; Magnoliopsida; Poales; Poaceae.